UUUUUCUAAAUUUCAUUUAAAUCUUGAUGAUUGCAAUUCUUUUAACAUGUGCAUAAAAAAAAUAGUGAGUGAAAAAGGAACUUGAUGAUCGCAUUAUUUAGAAAAUAAUAUGUUGUUAAGUUUAUGUGUGGAAGCUUGCAUCUCCGAUUCUUCUGUAAAACAACACUGCGUUAAUAUCAUCAUAAAUCCUCAACGCUGAAUUUUCUAUUACAUAAAAAGUGAAAUUAGAAUUAGAUCUUGAACAAUAUUAAAAAUUUAGUUAAGAAUAUGAGUUUUUGACAACACUACAAAUUCAACCAGAAUCUAAACUUGUUUCAGAUUUCGAUUAUGUUUAUUCUUACUUUUUCUGCUCUAAUGUUUUCUUAAAAAAAUUAUUUAAUAUAUUUCGCAUAUUAAUUUUAUUAACUUGUGUUAAUUUAGACGAUAUUUUGGUGCUUAAUGCGAAGAUAGAUAAUAAAACUAUUUCUUUUAAGAAACGAUAUCGUUUUGUUUCUUGAAAAAAAAAAAAAAACAGGAAAGGUAGGCUCCUAAAAUUAUUUUAUAACAGAUAUUAAAAUAUUAUAAAUUAGGGACGAUAAUUGUGGACAUUUAAUAAGUUCGGGGUAGAUUACACGUUUAAUUAUAGUUUUCCCUGUUUAAUUAUCAUUGUCAUCUGGUAAUUUUAUCAUUUACAUUUUUUCACAAUUUGUUAUAUAACUUUUUUAAUUUUAUAAGUUUUAAGAAUAUUUAAAUGCCAAGGAAAAAAUGUUUAAGAUACAUCUUAAUAAAAAAACUAUGGAAUGACUUUCUUAGAAUGAAUUGAUAUAGUAUGAUGGGAGUCUUAACAUAAAAUUUAUUAUUUUAGACAAGGCUCAAUCUCUUAACAAUAAAAUAAAAUAUUUUAAUAUGAAAAUGUGUUUUUUUAUAAGAUUUAUUUUAAAAUAAUAUUUAUAAAUAUAUAAUGUGAGUUAUUUAAAAGACACGUGAUAGUGAUAUUCGUUUAAAAUAGAAUAAGACUGAAUAUUUUAAUAACAUGUUUAUAUAAUGAUUAUUUGUUAUGUUUCAAUUCAAAAAUUUUAUAAGUAGAUCAAAGACAAUAUGUUAGAUGAAAUGGUUAAAUUUAGUAUUUUUAACCAUAACAUACAAAUAAUUACAUUUAAGAAUGUAAAUAAAGUAUUGUUUAGAGUAUCAAGUCAUAUAAUAUAUAGUAUAAGUUUAGAAAAGAAUGCAUAUGGUUUAUUUUGGAAUAAAAAGAAUGUAAGUUUUUUUUUUUUGGUUAUAUGACUAAUAUUUUUUUAAUUAUAUGACUGAGAAAAAAUAUUUAAUAUUAUUCUUCAUAAUCUAUGAAAGAAGGGACAAUUGUAAAAGUUAAAAUAAAAUCCUGAAUUAAGAGCUCUUUGUUAAUGUUAAACAAAUUUAGAGUAAUAACAUGCAUUAGACAAUAUUCAAUACACCAAUAUAAUAAUAUUUAUCCUUAUAAAAUUUUUAAUUUUGUCUUCUAGAAAAUACCCUAAAUAUCUUGCAAUACAAUAAUUAUCUUUUUCGAAAAUUCAAUAUACGAGAAAAUACACUAAUAACACAAUUUAAAAGUUUUUAUUUCGUAAUAAAGCUUUGUUAAAAAAGUAUCUUAUUAUCUUUUCAGUUAAAGCUUCGUCUUAACCUUUCAUACUUAUCAUAUAAUACCGUCUUCUUUUAUCUAUUUGGAAGUAUAUAAAAACUUGAAAAUGAUCUUGUUUAAAAAAAUCUUCAAAAGUUACUAAAAGAAAAGUGAAAAACAAAAUAAAAUAAAGUAUUAGGCCAAGAGUGAUUAUAAAUAAUUAUGCAAAUUAUGUAUUAACAAAACCUGGAAAUGCCCAUGCCCAUAUGUAGUUUCAUUCAUCGAAAUAAAUUAAUAUAAAAAUGAUGUGUUGUUAAAAUAUCCUCUCAAACACAAUUCAACUUCUUUUUAUCAUAUGUUAUAGGACUAAAUUAUUUUAAUAAAACAUUUUUUAUUUGAAUAUGAAGGAAAAAGUAGUUGUACAGGUAUAAAAUUAUUCUAUCAUGAAUAAUGGUAAGAUAAUACUAUUACAUUUAUUACAAGAUGAAAUAACUAUAAAAUUGUGAACUUUUAAAUUUUUAAAAAGAAAAAGAAAAGUAAAAAAUAAAGAAAAAUAAUAUUAAAUUAAAUAUAAAAAAAUUGUGUAUGUCAAAGUUGAUAUUUUAUCAUAAUAAGAAAUUAAGGAUGAAGAGCCAAAUAUGAAAAUAUAUAAAAUGUACAUCAUGGUAUAAAUCAUAAUAAGUAAUUAGGAAUGAUAAUAUAUUGGAAUAUUUAUCCGUUAAUCCAUAACCAAAAAAAAAUAUACUUGUUACCUAUCUUGUCUAUUAUCAAUUUAAAAAAAUAUAUUUAUAUCUAUUUUAAAUUUUUCGUAUACUUGUACUCAUAAAUAUUUUAAAAAAAAUAUUUUAAAAAAUUUUAAAAUAAAAUCUAAAUAAAAUUAAUAAAAAAACAAAAUAAAUAUAAAUAUAAAUAUAUAUUAAUUUUAAUUUUAAUUAAAUUAAAUUUAAUAAAAUAUAAAUUAAAUUUUUAUUAAUUUUUUAUAAAUAAUUAAUAUAUAGAUACAAAUAAUAUAAUAUCUAUAUCUAAUAAACAAGAUUUAAAUUAUUCACUAAUCAUGAAUAAUAAAUAUUCUAACCUAUAUUAACUAGUCGUCACUAAUUCUAUUAUUGAAUUUUGGACAAAUAAUUUUGCCAUCUUUAUCCUUGAUAAACAUUAUUGAGUUAUAGUUUAAUUAGUUUACAUUUUUAUAUAAUAUUUGACGUAUAAUUAUGUGAUUGAUUGAAAAUUAAUUCACAAUCAUAAUAAUUAUAUACUGUUACAAACCAAUUACAAUAUCACAUAUUAAAAUAUGGAAAAAGUCUUUUAAUAACUUUUUUGAUAAUUUUUUAUAACGUAUACAUGACAGUUUGUGAUUGGUCUGUUUUAAAUAUUUUUUUAGAAUAAAUUCAAACAUAUCAAUAAAAUUAUGGCAUUUGUUUCCUUGUAAAAAAAUAUUAAAAAAAAGUUGUUAAAAUAUUAUUUUCCUUAAAUAUUAUAAAAAAGUUAUAUGAUAUCAUUAUCUUUAGGAAAAUAGUGGAAACCAUUAUUGAGUUAUCGUUUGAUUAAUUUAAAAAAUAGUUGAAAAUAAUAAUAAUAAAAAAAAGAGCAUUAAUUGUUUUACCUGGAUUGAAGGUUGAUGAAUAGUCAAAGGAACAUGGCGGCUACGUUGUGGCGGUCUCCGCAUAGAGUUUCUGACUGAAGAAGACCAUAAAAACUUCUCAAAUUCAUACACUCUUCGCUUCCAUCAAUCUAUCUAUAUACCUCACUCCCUCUGCAGAUCCGUGACGAUCACGAGAAUCCAAAAAUGGAGCCCGAUGAGAAAAAAGCAAUGAUUCGCGAUAUCGCGCUACAGGUCUUCGUCUUCUCCAUCGCCAUCGUCUCCUUCCUCUGGAUGCACGGCAUUCCCCAGCGCCUCUAUGCCAAGCUCCGCCACCGUCCCCCAAACCCACGCGCCGUCCAAGCGAAAAGCCAUUUCAUCAAAGGCGCGCAACUCGUCUCGCAAGCCAGAAGAUCCAAAAACGCCUCUGUCACAGUCUCCCUCGCUAAACAGGCUCUAGAAGAAGCCGAGAAGGCCAUCGCACUGGAUCCCAAGGACGCCGCCUCGCACUUCUUGAAGUCCAUGGCGCUCGAUCUCCAGGGCUUCCGUAGCAACGCUCUGGACGCGCUGGACGCCGCGCUUUCUCCGCUGGCCGCGGCGUCGCUGGCGGCCGACGAGAGAGGCGACGCGCUGCUGAAGAGAGCGGAGCUGAAGAUCUCGUUGAGCAAGAAGCGCGUUGACUCGGUGCUGGCGGAUUUGAACGAGUCAGUGAAGCUGAGUCCCCGGAACCCGAAAGCGUGGUGCAUGCUGGGAGAGUGUUAUGAGGGAAAUGAUAUGGGAGAGGAAGCGAAGAAGGCUUAUAAAGAGGCUCUCCAAUUGGAGCCACAAUUGGACGUGGCUCAGGAAGCUCUCAACAGGUUGGGUUCGUAGUAGCCGUCGCUAUGGAAUCAAAGGUUUGAGAUGAUAUCGCUUUAAUUGCUUGUUGUAUGUUUGUAAUCAAUAUCGUUGUUUAUAGUCUUCGAUUAUGGAUACCGUUAUUGGAGGUUAAGCGUGAGCACUUGCAUCAAUAAUGAUUUUCGCCGAAGAAUUUCAAUUCUAUAGCUGUUAACUGGUGAAAUUUUUGAUAUAGAAGGGGAAAUUUUCUUACCUUUGUAUUUCUUACAGUUUUAUGUUCUGUUCCUAAGCAUAUGUUGUUGGUGAGAACAGCAGUGCUUUUUAUGCAAUAUAACCCUUUCAUCUUGCCCAUCAUUUUCUUUCUUGUUGCUAGAUAUAAUUGGGAUAUAAUGCUUAGUACUAUGUUCUUAAUUGUUUUGGGCUUAAUUACAUGUUUGGAUAUGGAUCACUUCUUUGGCAUGUCGUCAGUAGAGCUUUUAUGCAUGUUCCUCAACUACAAGAACAACCAACCUUCUUCGGAUGUAAAGCAAGAACGGCCCUAACCCUCAUCAAUAGUCAUAAUAUAUAGAAACUCUAUCAAACCGGAGCCCUUUUUGAGGAUUUAUUUUACAGGUUUUAAUCACGAGAACUAGAACCUAAAAGAUAUGAAGAUUCUUCUCUCCAAGUACCAAUCGAUUUAUUUUCAAUUGAAGAAAAACUAUUUUAUUUAGAAUUCAACUUUAACAAAUACUAAGUUUUGAUAGAUUUGUGAUUAAUUUUCAAUAUUCCGCACGAGUAUAUAAAACGAUUUCUGAUUAAGUCGCAAGCAUGUGUUUGCACGCACAUAAUAAUAACAUUCGGUUUUAAGUUACGGAUUAGUGGACUUGAAUUAAAUGCGUUAUUAUAAUAGAAAAGUAAACACGGUAAAGAAAAAGUAAACCAAUAAUUCAGAUAGGAGAGGAACAUAAUUAAUCAUAAUUUGAGAUUUAGUGUGCAACAUAGCAUUAUCCAUCAUUGAGCCACAUUACAGUUGAAAGAGCUGGAAAUGGAAAGAAGAAAGGCAAGGACAUUCCGGAUUGGUUUUUGCAAGGAUUUCCAGAACAUGAAAAGUUCAUUCUGAAAUAUGCUUUUUGGAUUGGUCUUCGAAGGGUAUUCCGAAUUUCGGAAUCGUCAUUAUGAAACAGGAACAUAUUUUCUGGAAGUCAAAAUUAUUCCAAUCCAAAAGCAAACUUUUCCAAUAAAUAUAUUCUCGAAUGUUUAUUGCGGAAACCUCUAAUAAAGGUAAGAAGGGUAUUUUAAAAGUUUGGGGAUUUUCGUCUAAGGAAUUUUCAAAAAUUUUAAGGGAUUUUGAAAUCCAUCAUAGAAAGGUAUUUUUAGUAUGUGGUAAUGCAGAGAUUAAUGUGGUGUAGGAAAUAACCCUCUUUCAAAACCUCUUCAAUUAUUUUAUCUACUGAUUAGCAACCUGACUUUUCGUCUAUAACUAAAUCAAUUUACUCCUAGCAAAGCGAGGCAGAAAGUCCCAAAAACGUUCUUUAAUACAAUGUUCAAAGUAAAAGUUUAAGAUGAAAGCAACAUGAGAUUGAUACACAAAUGAUAUUUCAUCCUUCACAAGGACAGACUACACCUUCGUGUCUUGGCAUAAAAAAUUAUAUAAAUAGAGAAAUGCAAACCUAAUAUCACCGAUCGUAUACAUGCUUAAGGAUCGUAUAAACUGCAUCUUCUUCCCGACUAAGGCGCAGCAGAGAUUUGAACUAGGAGCUUGUACUACUUAACCCAAGAAGUCAUUUGACAUUUGUAAAGACAGUAAAAAUGUCACUAGCAGUGUAGCAUCUGAUGCCAACAAGGACCAAAUGCAAAAUCUUCACAUUAUACCAGUAAGAUAAAACUCCAUCUAUAAAAGCCAAGAUUGAUCAAGAUAGUUCUUCGUCAUCUAGCCACUUGAGCGUUGGCAAAACUUUGACCAGAAAUGACCUGAAGUUUUCAUCGGCUACUGCAUUCCCUAUUAUGUUUAAUUCUGUCAGUGCCAAGCUUCCAAAAAUCAAGAAAGCUUCCCAGAAUUUUGUGGCGCUAACACUGCCAGUGAGGAUUUCAAAACGGUCCCAUGCAAAUUCUUCAGUGUGAGAUAGAGGAGACGGGCAUAAGUAUCUCGUUGUGUCAACCGAGUGAGAACCCAACUCAUUGUGUGAGAUAUUUAGCACUUUAAGUGACUUAACCAAUCUGAGAGGCCCCAAAGCAGUAAAGCUACCAAUUUUAUUAUGACUCAGAUUUAAGCAAGAUAGAAGUUGCAUUGCCUCCAAUCCUGUCAAAAACAUUCAGCAUGAUAUUUAUUUCAAUUUUUAGAUACGUCAAAAGCUAAAUUUUCCAAAAGUGAUUUGCCAAGGAUACAGCCUAAGCUAGAGACAACCUUUCUGACUGAAUACUGCUGCAUAAGAAAUUGGAAAUCAUUUUUUUUAUAAAACUUAAGUAAAUCUAUAUUGUGAGAAACAAAAAUAACAUUUAAAUCAUUAACAUUAAUUAAUUAAAGUUUAUUAAACUGUUGACAUCAGUAGUCUGCUUAAGCUAUAUAGAUUCAAAAGGAUGAUAGUUUAUGCUCCAUUGGCCUAGGAAACAUGGAUAAAAACAUAAGGUGACUAGUGGUUUGCUGAUACACGAAAAGCAUCUUGUUGAGUAAGUUAAAGAGAAAAUAGAAGAGCGUAAUUUUAUACAGUUUAAUUAAGCACAAAGGGGUGCUAGAAUACAUGUUGACCCCACUAAAAAGGAAUAUGGAUAGGUUCUUCUUGUAUUUGAACAGAUAGAAAAACUAAGCUACGACAAAUUUACAAGAUACACGAGUUUUACCUUCAAUGGAUUGAAGUUCGUUGUGGCUAAGGUCUAGCAUUUGCACCCACAAUAAAUUCUCAAUGGAUCCCAGCCGUGACAAUGAUAGAUUUUGUAAUCGUAGACAAAGAUAACCAGCGGUUGUUUCUGUUUCAUCUUCAUAGUAGUGGCAGUAUGGUAGUAAAGAGUCCCUAGUUGAAGUUAUCUGCAGAAUCAUCAAAACAUAAAAAGAGAAAAAUGAUGUAUUGCGGAAGAAACAGACAAUUGGACAAUUGUAAAGUUGAAGUAAAUAUAAAAACACACCACCAUGGCCAGAUAAAGGCUUCAAAAGUCUAGCACGAUUUUGUAAGAAAACCAGCAUUAAAAAAAAAAAAAACCCUUGUAUUUUCUAAAUGCCGUUUCUCCAGUCAACUGAUUUUUCUCCAAAGUGCAAGUUUGAUUCUGAAAAUAUUUUCAGCUUUCACCUUUUUCCCAUAUCUCAAAUGGGAAUCGUGAAAAACAUUUUCAGUAAAACACAAAUACACAUACAUGUGUGUGUAUGUGUGUUCACAGUCAUGUUGGCUGUUUUCAAUUUGAAAGGUAGAUAUUCACAAGAGUAUUUGACAUCUUUAUCAACAACAGUGAAAGUCGAAUGAGAUCAUGUUAUGAUAGAUAACUAAUUCUGAAGAAAAGUAAAUUACCUGCUGUAUUGAUAUUAGACUAUGCUCGUCUUUGUAGUAUAGAGAAUGUGUUGGAUCCAACUUAAUCAGAUCGGCGUAAAGUUGAAGAACUUCUUCAGUGUUAGAUAUUCUUCCAUCAUGUUGAGAUGAUAACAAAUCAAGAGCAGUCAAAAGUCUUGCAAGUGUAAGCUUUCCAAUUUUACUAAAAAAAGAAAAAGGGUACACAUUAUCUUAGAAUUGAACAGAGACAAAAACAUGGGAAUAAAACUUCCAAGGUGGGAUUUCAAAUCAUAAAGUUAUCUACUUAAUAAAUAAACCUUACCAAUCAUACUCUGACAGUAAGUCCCGAAAUUUAGUUAUUUCUUCACCAAUUUCCUCAGUGUGCCAAUCGGAAGUUGUUGGAAUAUGGUGAUUUUGAACGGCGGAAAGAAUGGGAUCUGACUCCUGAAAAUGAUCAAUUUUACGGAAAUUUGUAUCCUUCCAUGUAGUCCUUUUCCCACCCUGUCCUUCAGAAUGUUUAAUAGAUGCAGUCUGUACAAACACUUUAAAGGAAAUUUGGGAAGGAUCACCAUAAUGAUUUUCAUUAGAAGAUACAAUACCCUCAGAAUGUCCAAUGCUGAUAUCUACCGUGUAGGUUUUUGACGAUUGAAGCUCCAUAUUUCCAAGGUUUAGAUAUACAACCCAAACUUUAGCAGUAUUCGAAUUGCUCAUCGAAAGUGGUUUCCAAAUAAGUUCCUCGUCUAAAAGUUCGGAUUUAAUAGACACUGUGGAUGAGUUUAUUCCUUCUACAGCUUGAUUGAAAUUAAGAAUGACCGGUAGAGUUGCAGUGUCUGAUAGUGUACCAUUUAGAAGAGACAAAUGACAACCUUGAAGGCUGUUGUCCCCAAUUAGAGUUAUACUAGAUCCAUGGGAUGGCCAAGACGAAACAAGAAGAGGAGCAUCAGUUUUCACGGUUUGAUCAAUAAGCCAAAGAUGAUAAAACCAGCCACUCUGAUCAUCUGGGUCAGUAAAAAUAGCAUUGUGAACAUGUUCAAACUCUUCUUCCAAAAAUUUUUCUUUCGGGAAAUAUCCUUCAGCCUUUCUUUUCAGCAAAUUAGACAAAAGAACACUGAAAAAUUCCAAAUGCAAUAUGCAUUAGUAAAAUUAGUUGAUACACCUUUCUCAGCCUUUUUAUUUAGAUUAAUAAAUUUGGUUGAUCAAGACAAGUCAAAUUUUACCCUUGAAAUAAAGUCCUAAAGAAUGGAGUUGGUUCAAAUAAACACGAUGCAAAAGCCUUCAAUGGAAAAAAGGGUUUCCCACUUAUGAAGGGCAAGAGCAGUAUUAGUACUUAGUGCAUACAGAUACACAAACUUUUUCCUACAAUGUCAAAAUAUCUCUGGAAUGAUAAAAGUCAUUGCAUCCUGAUGAUCGUUUAAGGGAAAAGGACAGUUUUAUAUUUCGGUAGAACGUGGCAUGUAACCAUAUCAAGCAACAAAAGGGCUAAUUUUUUGAAGUACACGCACCCAAUGAUAUGCUUUCAGUUUUUUCACUUACACGAGAAUAUUGUAGAAUGCUUCAAAUUAGCAGCUAAUUGAUUUUUUAUUGACAUGAAAUCAAACCACUUUUCUUGGUCACAAUUGAUCAAGCAUAGAUAUCAAAAGUGCACCUCGAAGGCUCACAUGGAAAACAUUUAAUUAUGUAGAGUUGUUAGAUGCCAAUGCUUAUUUCAAGGAUAUAACCUAAGAACAAAACAAAUAUAUGUAGACAAAGAUGUACAAGACGAAGAUACAAUUUUAUUCCUAACAUUUCAAUUUCAUGCCUUUUCAGAGAAACAUACAAACACAAGCAAAACAGUCCAAUGUCAAUUCACAAGUUCUGAAAAACACACUUAUGUAACUCAGGUGAUUAAAUAAUUGGCUCCAUACAGAAAAAGCACACAGCCAGCAAGCACUGGAAUGUCCCUUUGAACGAGUAAAUUUCUAGUUAUAACUACCUACGGUUGUGCCAUGCAGAGUAGUUACUGAAAUUAGCUCCUAUAACCUCCUCCGUGUAUUUCAACUCAUCCUCAUCAGAUCGUUUCAUCAGUUCGGUAACAAACCUGGAAGUAACAUCAACGCAAAAAAGGAAACCAGCAUAACCAGUUUAGUUUAGCAUUCAAGAGGAGGUAAUCAUAAUUAUUUCGCAAAACUGCACUGCAAACGUGUUUUUUUUUUUCAAAAUGCCAGAAUUAAAUUUUCAACUAUUAAUAACAAACAAGAGAAACAAAAAUCUCUCAAAUUCAAUCAUUUUCUUUCUCUGGUUGAAAAGAGAACACCAGAAGGAAAAGCAGUAUUGCACCUUCGGUAAUUCCACGCGUGGAAAUUUCGAGGAUCGGCCUUCUGAAAACCAUUCAGAAGGCGCAUUUCGUUGUCGAUGGACGAAUGCCCCAUGCUGAGCACCCAUUUUCUAUGAUGCCACGCGCCGUAAGACUUGAAAUUCUUCCUCAGCGCAAUCUCCACCUAAAGCAUUCGAAACAAAUAGCAAACUCUAGCAAAUCGAUUCACAGAAAAUAAAUAAAUAAACUAAUUAUUUAUCCAAAUAAUUAAACCGCAAUAACUGAGAGUUAACACGCACCAGUUUGAGCUCGCCUUGGAAGAUAGAAUGAGGAUCGGAAUCGGAGUUAGUGAGAAGGUGUUGAACCGCGAGUUUUCUAUAAUUCCAAGCUGUGUAACACUCUGGAUUAACUUCUAGAAGCUUCGCACUCACAUCUAGCGCUUCCUUGCUAUAUCUGCAACCAAUCAGAUUUGCGCAAUUGGAAUUAAUCGAAGGAGAAGAGAAAGAGAAAGAGAGAGAGAGAGAGAGAGAGUUGAAGGAAGAAGAAGCAACAUGCGAUUGUGGUGAUUGGCAAGGAACUGAGUUUGCAGUGAACGAAGCUUUUGAGUCUUCGCUGAUAAAGCAGUUUCAUCUUCUUGCUUCAGCGCUUUGCGAGGCCUACCGUGCAUUUUCAAACGUAAUUCACACUUCUCUGCCCUUCGCCGUUUUGAGUUCUAGUGUUUGGGCAGAUCUCAUUGUUUUCUGAUAAUUAAUAAUUAAUAAUAAGGAAGGCUUGUACCCAGUUCUGGGUUUAUAAUCAAAAUAAUGUUUUAAAUCUCUCAUAAAGUGUUAUUCAGAAUAUAUUAGAAGAAUUUUGUAUUGAUAUUGUGAAAAAAAAAAAAACAAAAAAUGAGAAUUUCAAGAUGUAUUUCGAAAUUAAAUUUUAGCUAUUAUGAAAUAAAAUUAAAGAAAAAAAAACCACUUUACCAUCUCACUAAACACCAAAGUCACUUUCCUAUUUUUAUUUUGGAAAAUGAAUUUUAAAAAUAUAUAUAUUGAAAAAAAAAAGAAAUUGCUGUUUAAAAAUGUAUCUUAGAAUAUAUUUUAAAUUAUCCUAAAAAAAUUAAAUUAAUUUUCUAGAGUGUUUUGUGAUUUAUAAAGACUUUUAGAUUUGAAAGGUAUAAAAAUUUUAAAAUGUCAUUUUUUUUUCUGCAUUUUAGUUAUAUUAUUUAUAUUUUAAGGGUUAAAUAUGUUUUUAGUCCCUAUAUUUUGGAACGAUUUUGGUUUUAGUCUUUCUUAAUGUACAAUUUAGUUCUUCAACUUUAGAAAACUCUGGUUUUAGUACUUUUUACCAAAUUUUUUUAACUUUAUAUGCUAUUUCAAACGCGUUCAUUAUAGUAUUUGGAUUGUUUACACUGUUUGACACAUUUUUGCUAUAGCAUUUAGAUUGUUUAUACUGUUUGACACAUUUUUGCUAUAGCAUUUGGAUUGUUUAUAUUGUUUGACACAUUUUUGCUUCAAUGUUAACUGAGAAACGCGUUUGAAAUAGUAAAUAAAGUUAAAAAAAUUUGGUAAAAAAUACUAAAAUCAAAGUUUUUUAAAGUUAGAAGGACUAAAUUAUACCUUAGUUUAAAAGAGAGACUAAAAUCAAAAUCGUCCCAAAAUAUAGGGACUAAAAACAUAUUUAACCCAUAUUUGACAUAAAUGUAAAAAUACAAAACACAUUUGACAACUUUGAAGAAUUUAUAUUUCUUAAGAAAAGAACAACAUAAAAAUUUUAAUGAAUUUUUUCAUCUCUCAAGUAGGAGUGUCAUUUUAAUCCAUUAUCCAGGAUCAGCCCCAGCCCGGUUAAAAAUUCAGCCCCAUUUAGUGGCCACUCAUUAGGGGGCUUUCCCCCAGCCCCAAAACCCCUGAUAGAAUGGGUUGGAACAGCUAGGGGUGGGUUGAACCCCCUUUAUCGAUCAAACCACUUCUUCUUUCAAGAACGCGUCACUGCAGAUACAAGCCUUCUUCACUGAAACUUCUCUCUAAAACAUCAACACAUUCUUCUUCUCACCUUACUGAAGAACGAUCCAAACCUUCGCGAACCUCUAUCAACAACCUCGCAACGCUCUCUUCUUCUGCUGAGACCUCGCCAAAUUCGUAGAACACACGGUUCCGCCUCCAGAUUUCACUUACCGGUAAAUGUUCUUUUUCUCAUUGUUUUAUUUUUGUCGAGUUUUGGUUUUAUACUUGUUUGGUGUCCAUUAUUCAUUUCUCACGCCCCUUUUGAGGGAAAGUAAUGGAUUCUUCGUGGGUUGUGCUUGAAUCGGUAAUUCUGUAGGCUUGAUUUUAUGUUAAAGUAUAUGAGUAGUUUAUUAAGCUGUUACAUGAUCAUAGUCAUUCUCUGGUUGGUAGCUAUGUGCAGUGGUUGAAUGGAAUAAAUUGCAAUAUAUGUUGGUUGUCUCGGUGGUUAACAGACGCAUAAGGUUAUGUAAUAAGGAUGAGUUUAUGAACUAGAUUGUCAGAAUAUCCAAGUUCUGCUCUAGAUUUGUGUCAAAAGUUAUGUAUUUUUCUUUUCAGCAAUACUUUCAUAGGAUAUAAAUAUAAUUAGUGUCGAUCAUCUGUUGUAGUGACUAUCAAUUUCUUCUCACAAUACAUUGACCUAGAAUAAGGACUCCAGAAUUUUUAUAAAGAUAAGACAAUAAAUCGUUGUUCUUUUCUCUUCCCUUUUUACAUUCUACUCCUUCAAUUUAAUAUAUAAUGUUUCAAAAUUAAGAACCUUUUUUAAUAUUUAGUAUGAUAGGAGUGGCUUAAAUUGAAACCUUUUUACAUUCUGUCUCUGUUUGGUUUUGUCAAAGCCAGAUGGAUAACUUUUUGCUUGAACGUUUUGUUUACUUCUGUUCAAAAAGCAUUUAACACUUUUUGCCUUUUCUAGCUCAUCAAAAAGGAAAUUCUCAAUUUUACAGCUAUUCCAAUAUCAUUAACAAAGAACGCUAAACAUUACAGUUGUGAAUUGUCUUAAUUAAGACAUGAAUUAAUGGUCUCUAUUAAUAGUGUCAGGCUCAGCCUCAUCUCUAAUGAUUUUAAGUUAAGUCUGUGAUAAAUUUAUUUGUUUGUUUAGGUUGAGAAUUCCAUAAUUACUACACAUACGAUUGAAUGAAACACUAACUUAUAACAGUUAAGUAGUAAACUUUACUUAAAAAUAGUUUUAUCCAUUUAAGUUUAACAUAGCAAAAAUAGUUGGUAAAUGAAACAAAUUCAUGUUGUUUUUAAUGCAGCUUAAGAGAAAGAGCCAUUCAUUUGAGUCUCUUUCUAAUGGUGAACUUCUGGCUAUUCCCGUGCAUUACCACUGAUUCGGAUUCCACAAACACAUAUGUCAUAGCCUCGUACACAGACAACUUGGGACUAAAGUAGUAUUCGAUACCCAUUUAUUCCCCUCGAUUCUACCAUGCGUGUCGGAAGACAUUUUCAUUGCCAAAGUUGGUAGUAGGGUCAGAUCAGUAGUCUCUAGAACAACUACUUUUAUAUACAUUUCCAUGGAAUGAAUUCUUUAACUAUUUUUUCUUUUCUUUCCAACUACUUUUUGCUCUUCAAUGUUGUUAAGUAGUAAGAGGGAAGAUGACUUCAACAUGUCUCUACUAUAAUAAUGUUAUUUCCUAUUAAUAAAUGAAUUGGUUGCAUCAUUAUAUUACAUGUGUUGCAUAGCCGUGAAUUCUCUCUACACUUUGUGUUAUGUCUGGCAAAGCCAGAAGGAAUGCUAUAUCAGAGGGUACACUCCCUCUUUCCAUCAUUGCAGCAUAAGGUCUUUUCAUUAGUUGCUUCAAGAGUCUUGGACCCAAUUGGUGCCUCUUUUUUGUUUAUUUUAGUUCAUUUAUCCCUUAAAAAGAAGAUGCAAUUAAAUCAACUUGCCCAAAACCAACAGUCAAAGUAGCUACCAAUAGAUCAAGAAAUAAGUAGAAUAUAUACACACCUCCAAUAGAUGCUAAAAUAAGAGCAGUUUUCCUGACCCAAAAAUAUCUUUAUUGAAGACCUACUAAAAAUAUUGUUCAUUUAUCUAUGCAGCUGUGUGCAAUGCUUUUAAAUAUGGACCACCAUAAGAGUAAUGCUUUGAUUUUGGUUGAUGAUCUUGCAUCUGAAACUUCCGGUCCAUCUGAGAGUGCUACCACCAAUAAAAAGAAAAUCUCAAAUGUUUGGAAUUUUUUCACAAAAAUAGGAAAAGAUGAAGAUGGCAUUGAAAAGGCUGCAUGUAAAUAUUGUGGUAAUAGCUACAAAGUUGGAAAAAACCCAAUUACUAAAAACAAUUAUGGAACUUCACAUUUAAGUCGACAUGUCCAUGUGUGUAAAAGUAUUGCAAACUUAGAUGUGGAUAUGAAUCAAGAAGGAAAGUUUAGGACAAGAAAAAUCAAUCAAAAGAUUCAUCGGAAGUUACUUGCAAGAGCCACAAUCAAACAUAGUCUUCCUUAUAAUUUUGUUGAAUAUGAAGGAAUCAGAGAGUGGAUAAAAUACAUUAAUCCUAAUGUUGACAUGAAAUGCAGUAACACUACUGUAUCGGAUGUGGAAAAGGAAUACAUUGAACAAAAGGAUAAAGUUAAGCAAAUCAUGUCUAGGAUUCCUAAUAGAAUUUGUUUAACCUAUGAUGUUUGGACUGCAGUUACUUCUGAGAGAUAUAUUUGCCUAACUGCACACUUUGUUGAUGAAAACUGGAAAUUGACAAGUAAGAUUCUUAACUUCUGUCGAAUGAAACCACCAUAUGCAGGUGUUGAACUGGAAAGUGUUGUGUUUGGUUGCCUAAAGCAAUGGGGUAUUGAUGAGAAAAUUUUCUCAAUUACCCUAGACAAUGCUUCUACCAAUAAUAAUUUGCAAGACAUUCUGAAAAGCCAUCUUUGUGUUCAUAGAAAUUUAUUAUGUGAUGGUGAUUUUUUCCAUGUACGAUGUUGUGCUCAUACUCUUAAUAUGAUAGUUCAAGAUGGUUUAAAGGUGAUUGACAAAGCACUUCAUAGUAUUAGAGAGAGUAUUAAGUAUGUUAAAUCAUCAGAUGGAAGAACUCUCAAAUUCAAAGAAUGUGUUAGUGAUGCUGGCAUAAAUAUGAGCAUGGGUUUGAGAUUAGAUGUGACUACAAGAUGGAAUUCAACCUAUUUAAUGCUUGAAAGUGCAAUCAAAUAUAAGGGAGCUUUUGAAAUUCUCAAAGUGGUUGAUAGAAAUUAUAAAUAUUGUCCAUCUUAUGAGGAAUGGGAUAAGGGAGAGAAAAUAUGUCAAUUUUUAGAACCAUUUUAUGAGAUUACAAACAUGAUGUCUGGUUCAUCUUAUCCCACUUCAAACUUGUAUUUUAUGCAAAUUUGGAAAAUUCAGCUCAUCAUUGAAGAAAAUUUGUUGAAUGAAGAUGACACCUUAAAGGACAUGGCUUGUAAUAUGAAAGAAAAGUUUCAAAAGUAUUGGAAGGAGUAUAGUAUUGGGUUAGCUUUUGGAGCUAUUCUUGAUCCACGACUAAAGGUUGAUUUUAUAACAUAUUGUUAUAAAAAAUUGGAUCCUCUAAGCUAUGUAGAGAAAACAAAGAAAGUGUUAGAGAAGUUCAAGAGGUUAUUUAAAGAAUAUGUAAAGAACUUUUCUACCUCUAGUGUUUCUCUUUCCCAAUCACCUACUGAAUCCAUCUUGAUGUCUCGGUCCAAUACUGAAGGGAGAAAGUUUAAGAGAUCAAGGAUUCUUUCGGUAAGCGUUUUAUAUCUAGUGCUCAUUUUUUUUUCAGUUUUUCUAGUUUUGUUUUGAUAAUUAAUAUGUAAUACAUUGUAGGAUUUUAAAAUGUAUCAGAAUGAAUCAAAAUCUAUCAUUGGAAAGAACGAGAUAGAUGUUUAUUUAGAUGAACCAGCAAUAGAUGAUGAUGAAGACAGUGAAAAUUUUGAUGUGCUCAAAUAUUGGAAGACUAAUGAGAAAAAGUUUGCCAUAUUAUCUAUAAUGGCUCGAGAUGUGCUUAGUAUUCCCAUUACUACAGUGGCAUCAGAGUCAGCUUUUAGUAAAGGUGGGCGUGUACUUUCAAAAUAUAGAAGCUCCAUUCUCCCUGAGCAUGAGCAAAUGUUGAUUUGUACUCAAAAUUGGCUAUAUGGAUUUUUUGAAAAUCCUAGUGGUAAGUAUAUAUGUUAUUUUUUUUAAAAUUACUUUACAUUAAAUUAUUAAUUCUAAACUAGUUGUUUGAUUGUAUUUCAAUUGCUUGUGAUAGAUGAAAUUGUUGAAGAUAUUUUUGGUCAUGAGGAAAUUGAUGAAUCUAAACUUUUAGAAGAUGUUGAAAGUCUUCAACAUUGUGGGCAGUGAAAGUGAUCACAGGUAUUAAAUUAAUCUGUUGUGUGAAUUAAUCUUUGAAAGAUCAUGUUGUUGGCAUGUUCAUGAUAUACGGGACUGGUUUGUGUAAUUGAAAGGUUUUAAUUGGUACGAGUUGUGAAUAUUUUUUGAAAGAUCAUGUUGUUGGCAGACCAACUUUCCUCAACACCCAUUGUUGAGAAUGAGAAAGCCAAAAAGGUACCAUCUUAUACUUUGGGGCUCCCAUCAAUGUUUCAAGCUUUGUCUAUUUAGUUUCUUAGAUACUGUUGGAAAGUCUUCCAAUUGAGUCUCUAAUUUUCAGCUUGAAUUUCUAUUCGCAUGUUUUGUUUUGUGUUAAAAAAAAAUUGAUUCUGGGGCUAUAAUUGAUUUUUGAGUUAAAAAAACACUUGUAAGUCUUUCAUUUCGAAAAUUUGAUCUGUUUGGUGGUUUAGAUUAUUUUUUUUUUCAUUUCCAUUUUGAAUUACUAUUUGGAUUCUGUGUUGGUUUUAAUUUAAUUUCAGUAUUUCAGUAUUUGCUUAGGAUGUAGAGGAAAGUGUGAAAGUGUUAAAAGAUGCAGCUAAGACAAGAAAGGUUGCAGCAGAGGAGGUUCUUUCUGCAUUGUCUAUCAUUGAGAAAGCAAAAGUUGAUCCUUCUGGUUUUUUUGAAAUCCUUGGUGGCAAUAAAUCUCCUGGGAGGACCUGGAUGCUGAUUUUUACUGCUGAGGUUAAUCUACUUUUUUGGUAGCUCUUCAUUUGACUAUAAUUGACUUCUUACUACUUUCCACAAUUUUUUUUUCUCAUGCUAUUAAAUUUUAUUUACUGCAGUUAAACCUUCCGUAUCAAGUUGUUUCCAUUGUAUCUGGUGCUUUGAAUGAUGUUGCAGCAAAUAAUAUGAUCUAGAAGCAUGGUUUCCAGCCUCUCAAGUUUACAUUGUAUCAAGUUAUUUCCAUUUUAUAUUUUUGUAUUGGUAAAGAAAAAGUCUAUGGGCUAGUCUUUACCCAGAGGAGAUUUUUAAUAUUGUGAAUUUUUUCAAUAAAAUAUUUUUUGGUUAGUGCCUGUCAAAUGGGCUAAUUUGACAUACUAUUUUAUCUUCAUUCGUUUACUUAGAUUGAACUGUACAUGCAAAUACACCUAUUUAUUUCACAGUACAUGUUAAACAAUGAGUGGUAAAAAUAAAAAUUAUCAAAAUUAAAUAUUUGGCAAUAUAUUUUUAAUUUUUAAACUAUCAGACAAAUUUAUUUUUAGUUGCUUUUUUAAAUUAAACUAUAUUUUGAAUUUUUUUUUCAAAGAAACCAUAAUUUUUCUUCUCUUUGUUAAAAAUAAGCUAAUGAUGUGCCACGUCAAUUUUAUUUCUUUUACACUAGUCAACUCCUCUUCCUCCCUCUCCCUCCCAAUCUACCACAGCCACCCGGCGCCACCUCCGAUGUCACCUCGAACACCUCCGCGAGUGAUGAGCCGUCUUUCCGUCCCACGGUCGUCGAUCUUAAAGUUCUUUACCUCCGCCACCUUGAAACUCAUCCCCCUUCGGUAACUCCUCCCCCAACAUCACUUUACCUCAAACCCUCGACACCAACCUUAACUCUCAUAUCACUUUCUUUUCCCUAUCCCAAACCACACCCUCUUCAUUCUCUGAGGUGCAGUUCAUAUCCGAGAGCGACCUCUUGACCAUUGACACCCUUUGGAGGGAGCACAGUGGCAACAAAUUCGGGUACAGUGUGCAGAAAAAAGAUAUUGGAGAAGGCCAAUGGGGUGGAUGAAGAAGCUUGAUACUGAGGUGGAGCAGUACAACUACAGGUCUUUCCCUUCUGAGUUCAUCUGGUGAAGAAGCGUUUUACAAACUCUCGAACCGAAGGUUCAUUUGUUUGGUUGUCAAUUGUGGUCUUAAUAUCAAGCAGAAAUUUAAUUUAAUAUAAGCUACGGAAAUGUGGAGACCAUAUAUAAUAUUCAAAGAUUUUCCAGCAUAUUACUAUGGUGGCAUCUGAAGAGAAAAUAAAAAAGGUACAAGUCGCCAGAAGGAUUCUCAACGCUUAUGAAUGAUCACCGACCGCCUUCAACAUGGAAUUUUGAAAUUAAAACCACCAAUUAAUGGUUCUGUGAGGGUGCACACAUUAAAACAAAUACAAGCCACUUCAAACAAAAUUCCAGAUUCAAAGGACCCAGUAUUAGUAACUACAAACCAGUAAGGGAUUAAAAUGCCUGCCCAUGGUGGUAUUUUGCUCUUCAUACACCUAAAAUUUAAAAUCUAGAGAUUAUUAGGUCCUAUAGUCUUGAAUGUGUAUGAAAUAGUAAUUACUACUGGGCUCCAUUUUGGCCUGUCUAAUGAAAGUCAUUAUACCAGGUAAACCUGAGCAUAACAGACUAAAAGGGAUUGAGAGAAAACAAUCAACAAAGUUGAAGAACCAAAAACAUGAUCCAAGUAAAUUGUAAUGAUGUAAAAGCAUAUGGGAGCACACUAAACUUCAUCAUAAAUGCCUAGAAAUGACGUGGGCAGGGACUGAGUUUCGCGGUGGCGGAGGUGAAGGACUUCAAUAUCUAGCUCCAGGGGACAGCCGUGGGAAGGAAGGAGUGGCUCGCGAUCGGGGGAGGUGUUAGAGUGGCGCCGGAGGUCACUGUGGUAGAGUGAGAGAGAGGGAGGAAGAGGACCUGGGAAAAGAUUGAAGAAUGUCAGAAAGGAUAAAAACGGUUAACCACCUCAAUAUAUUUCAUUAGUUUUGAAGGAGAAAAGAUUAUACAAGAACCAUAAUGUAACUUUGAAAGAGAAAUUAAAAACAAAUUGAUUUAAUAAUUUAAGGACUAAAAAUAUAUUUAACUUGUAAAAUUAAAAUUUAAAUAUAAUUAUUUUUAAGAGAAAAAGUCACGGUUUAUGUCUUUAAUGCUGUGUUUACUUGUACUGAAUUUCCUGUUCACAAUAAUUUGCAAGCGAUGAAUUAAAAAAAGGAUAUCGAUAUGUUAACAACCAAAUUUUAACAACAAUUUGACAACGCCAGUGUCAGCAAUCUAUUGGGUGAUUGAAUAUUUUUUUUUAAUUAAAAUAAUGAUUUGAAAAAGGAGAUUUUGUGUUGUUCCAAAAACACCCUCAGUGGUUUGAAUCAAUAUUUCUCCUUCGAAGCACUCUCUCUUUAACCACUCUCUCUCUUUUUGCUCCAUUGUAGGUUUUCGUUUCUCUCCGAAGCUCUCUCUGCAUCCAUUUAAUGUUUUCGUGUUCCUUUGAAGUUGUUCCUUCCGUGUCCAUUUANUGAANGCUUUGAAACGGUGAGCAAUGUGAGGGGAGGUUGAAGGAUUUCGUUGGGUUUCGNUCUUCCGAGCUAGGUUUCGCCUNUGUCGUCNUUGGGGGUGUAUUUCGUGGAAGUUGUUCCCUUUUUUAUGCUAUGGGUUCGUCUGCAGAGAUUGGUUCUUCAAAACUUGGUUGAGAGUUAUGUAAUUUUUGUAAUAGUGUAGUAUUUGGUAGAUUUUUAAGUAUGUAUAUUUGUAUUUGGACCACUUAAUAUGAUUGUGAACANAGAUNNUUAUUAUUGGAAAGGAUAUUUUAUUGUACUGUUGAUUCCAUGUGUUAUUUAAUUUUGAUUCAUUAUCUAAGUUAAAUGACCCCUAUGUUUGUGGGGAAGACGAAGUAGAGGUUUGUGUGGGUUGGAAUGUAAGUUCCUGCAGCAAUGGCACUAGCCUGGUGCUAUUGUAAUCGCUUACAGGGUGAGUGUUAUCGAUUAACAUAAUGAAAAACAACUUUUUGAGCAAGUACAGGUCUUGGUAGGUUGAUAGGGGCAGGUCUGAUGCUAUGGUAAGCAAUUACAGAGGUCCUGUAAUCGCUUACCAGUGAGAAAAUGGAGGUUUGUACCAAAACAUGAGAGCUGCUAACAAUGUCUGGCUGAGUGGCUCCCAAGUAUGGUCAAACAUGUUUUACCAGUGCAUUGACUAUGCAUUACCCAACUUAUCACGAACCACCCAUUUGUGAGCAACUCCAAAAAACUCAAGGAGCAGCCACCAACUUUCGGUACAAAACUUAAUAUUUUUUCUGGUAAGCGAUUACAGCUUGCCUGUAAGCGAUUACACAGUCUCCUAAGGCACANNNNNNNNNNNNNNNNNNNNNNNNNNNNNNNNNNNNNNNNNNNNNNNNNNNNNNNNNNNNNNNNNNNNNNNNNNNNNNNNNNNNNNNNNNNNNNNNNNNNNNNNNNNNNNNNNNNNNNNNNNNNNNNNNNNNNNNNNNNNNNNNNNNNNNNNNNNNNNNNNNNNNNNNNNNNNNNNNNNNNNNNNNNNNNNNNNNNNNNNNNNNNNNNNNNNNNNNNNNNNNNNNNNNNNNNNNNNNNNNNNNNNNNNNNNNNNNNNNNNNNNNNNNNNNNNNNNNNNNNNNNNNNNNNNNNNNNNNNNNNNNNNNNNNNNNNNNNNNNNNNNNNNNNNNNNNNNNNNNNNNNNNNNNNNNNNNNNNNNNNNNNNNNNNNNNNNNNNNNNNNNNNNNNNNNNNNNNNNNNNNNNNNNNNNNNNNNNNNNNNNNNNNNNNNNNNNNNNNNNNNNNNNNNNNNNNNNNNNNNNNNNNNNNNNNNNNNNNNNNNNNNNNNNNNNNNNNNNNNNNNNNNNNNNNNNNNNNNNNNNNNNNNNNNNNNNNNNNNNNNNNNNNNNNNNNNNNNNNNNNNNNNNNNNNNNNNNNNNNNNNNNNNNNNNNNNNNNNNNNNNNNNNNNNNNNNNNNNNNNNNNNNNNNNNNNNNNNNNNNNNNNNNNNNNNNNNNNNNNNNNNNNNNNNNNNNNNNNNNNNNNNNNNNNNNNNNNNNNNNNNNNNNNNNNNNNNNNNNNNNNNNNNNNNNNNNNNNNNNNNNNNNNNNNNNNNNNNNNNNNNNNNNNNNNNNNNNNNNNNNNNNNNNNNNNNNNNNNNNNNNNNNNNNNNNNNNNNNNNNNNNNNNNNNNNNNNNNNNNNNNNNNNNNNNNNNNNNNNNNNNNNNNNNNNNNNNNNNNNNNNNNNNNNNNCUUGGUUCAAACAAUAGGCUACUUGUGAGCACUUGCAACACCUAGUUCUACCCAACUUAUCACGAACCACCCACUUGUGAGCAACUCCAAAAAACCCAGGGAGUAGCCACCAACUUUCGGUACAAAACUUAAUAUUUGCUCUGGUAAGCGAUUACAGCGUGCCUGUAAGCAAUUACACAGUCUCCUAAGCCAAACAAAACCCCUCCUUUCGACAACAGAUGACAAUGCUAGCCCCCUUUCCACACUUCCUCCCAACACUUCAAUGGCGGACGGACGUGAGAGCGCUCGGAAGGGGAAAAUAACGAAACCUUUCGAUUAAUGUCUUCAACGAUGGAAUAAGAUCCAAAAAAACCUCUCCUUCCGACAACCGUUGACAAUGCUAGCGUUCAAUGUGCAACUUCAAUACUUCAAUGGUGGACGGAUAUGAACGAACACGAUUUCGAUGACGUGCAAAGAUUUCAGAAUGCUGGAGGGAGAGUUUGGUUUCCUGGAGAGAGAUAAGUGUUAUCGUGGAGAGAGAGCGUAUCGGUGGCGCCAAUAGAAUUCAUUUCCAGCAAAUACUUUUCCACAAAAUGCCCUUCCCCUAAGGAUUUUUCAUUUUAAAAAAUCCAAUUAAAAGAACCAAUCACAGCACGCCACCUGUGGUUGUCAAAAUAGUUGUCAAAUGGCGUUGUUAAAGUAACAUUUUCCUUAAAAAAACGUGUUCACUCGACGUGACUUGAGAGGAAUGAAUUGAAGGGAAAAUGCAGGAUUGUUGUAGGGUUCAGUCACCCGCAUAUGUGAAGAGAUUUGAAGGGAUGAAAUAGUCUUUGUCUGAAAUGUCCUCUUCUUAAAAAUAAUUCCCAGCUCACAAAACAUAAAAUAUAAGCCACUUGCACGGUAUAUCAACAUAGAACAUUCACUGUGCAUUCACGAGAAUCUUGGUACGUUAAUAUAUUCGAUGGUAGAUGAAGAAGAUAAGGUUGAUGGGCAGUGGAUGAUGAAGAAGGAAGUAGUUGAUGAAGAACAUGAAGCUGCCUGGAGAAGACGAAGAAGGUGAACCGUAUUCGAUUCCAACAUGCCGUAUUCGGUUACAGACGUGUGAAGAAGAAGGGAAAACGUAUUCGAUUCUUAUAGCGUAUUCGAUUACCCUAUUUUGCCAAGUUGCUUUAUUUGAUUCCCAGGUGUAUUCGGUUACGAAGGCUUGCGCUGUGAUGGUCCAUAUGCCACAAGGCAUGCACCUCCUACCAAUAUAAAGAUGAAUCCAUAUGAACAUGUGCCCAGGAUUAGGAUCAGACCCAGACAUUUCCUCUUUAUCUUCGUCCAUUCUUAAGCAGUGAUGAGGGGUUAAUGAUGGAGGAAAGACCAUUAGGGUGGCAUGGGGUGUGAAACAGGUUGCAUUUGGAGGUGCCCUGUUCUAAUUUCUUCUAGUGUGGCACUUGCAGAGAAUUGAGAAUGGGAAUUUUUCUAAAAUGGAAGGCGUGUUCAAAAGUUGGUGUGGCACUUGCAGGGAAGCACAUGUCAAUAAUAAUAAACGUUGGUGUAGCACUUGCAGGAAAACGCACAUAAAUAAUAAUAAUAAUAAUAAUAAUAAUAAUAAUAAUAUUAUUAUUAUUAUUAUUAUUAUUGAAAAAAGAGAGUAGUAAAGUAGUGUUUUUUUUUAAUUCAUUUUACUACAUUAUAAUUUCUUUACCUUUUAAAAAUUGUUUUUAAUAAUUAUUUUUAAUUUUUUAUCCAUAAUAAACAUUUUUACAAUUAAAUAUAACAUUAACAAAUAUCAUUUUAUAUUAUUUUAAUAUUUAGGAGUAUUUUGAUAAUCUUCAAUUUCUACCAAUUAAACAAAUUUUUUUAAACUAUCAUAUCAAUCAAAUCUUACACUAAUUCUUACAAAUUUUACCUCUAAAUCCACUUUCAAUUACCUUCAAAUUCACUCAAAUAAAUACAAAAAAAUUACCUCCAAAUCUCCUCAAAUUCAUCCAAUCAUUCUCUCUUAAAUCAUCUCUUCCAAUUAUCCCGAGUAAAUACACCCUAAAACAUCUAGUACAUUUUUAUUAUUUACACAUAAUAAAAAAAAUAUAAAAUAUUUACUACAAAUUAAUAUUAUAGAAAUUAAUGAUUUGGCUAUUGUUCUUUAUGUCAUCUCAGUAUACUUAUAUUUGUAUGAGAUUAAUAUAUAACUUAUGAUAAAUUAUAAGCCAUACAUAUACUCAAUAAAAUAUCUAAUAAACCUUAUAAAUUAAAAGUAAUAUUGGUUCAAAAAAAUAUGUGAUUCAUUAAAUAACUACAUAAUAAAGGAUAAACAUUUAAUGCAAAAAAAAAAAAUAUAACUAACAUAAAAGUGAUAAACAUUCAUUACUUUCACAUGAUAGUUUUUUUUCUAUUUUUUUUAUAAACUCUUCAACAGCUUUUUCUUUUUCUUAAUAGGUUUCUUCUUUAAAUAUAUUUAAAGCGACUCAAUUUUGUUAAAACCUAAUAAAAUAAAUUUGUUAAGGAUUAAAUAUACUUUUAAUUUUUCAACUAGUCUUUUUGAAUUUUUCUUUUAAACUUUGUUUCGCUCUCAUUCUCAUCCAAGGUGUUAAACUUUUUAUCAUUUGCCACGUUUUAGACUUAAAAACUCUUAUUUUUUUCACAACCAUUGCUACCUCCUCUUCUUUUUAUCAUCCCUCAUCAACAAGUUCUUGUGUGCUAUGCGAAAAGAAAGUUCUUGUCUCGCUAAGCGAAUUUAGUGUGUGUUGUACGAAACAUCCUUGUCUCGCCUUGCAAAAGAGGGUGUGUUGUGCGAAUUAUCUAAGUCUAGACUUCAUCUUUUGCUUUUGUUUUGGUUGAGUUAAGGGUGUCUAAUGAUUGAAAUGCAUAGUACGAUGGUGGUAAUGUUAUUUAAUUGAAAACAUGUGAAUGUAUGAGGUAUGAUUGGUGAUUGAAUGUAACAAAGUGUGGUUAUGGACGUAAUUCCAUGAUCCUCAAGGAUAGGAUCCAUGGUGGUGCCCUUUAGUGUGUUGUAGAAUGAUUUGCAUGGAAGCUUAGUCUUGGGGUUUAUCCUGAAACUACAAUGUUCAAUCAUUCUCAAGUAGAGAGGAUUGAACCAUGUCAUGAGUAGUAGUAGGAGGUCUUAGUCUUGGAGGCUCCCCGUAUGCUCCAAGGUGCGAUACAAACUAACCUCGUAAAUGUGGUAUGGUGAAACCCAUUGGCAACGGCUUUGCAAAGCAGUAGAAGCCACCAUGAGUGUAUGACCCGCCAUAGCUCGACAAUCAUUAUAGUUCGGACGAGUCGGUUUAAAGUGCAACAAGUCAUGUUUGAGUAGUAUAGUAUAUCUGUUUUAAUUUGCAUGUUGUGUGUGAUUGUAUAACAUGAUUCUUGUAUAUCUAGCUCACCCUUUUUGCGUGUUUGUGUCUUCCUUGUGUUUUAUUUUCUUUUGCAAUGAUCAUCCACUUGAAUGUGAGCAGAUGUUGAGGAGGUGCCUCUAGAGCAGGUCCUGGAGGGUAAUGAAGUUGCAGCUUAGGUUUUAUUUUCUUAAUUACGUUGUAUUAUUUUGAGAUACUUUAUUCUAUACUUAAAGUUUUAAAUUCUAAUGAUGCUUUGGAUGACUGUAACCUUAACAACAUAAUUGCAAGCCUACUCUAACUGUUCUUUAUAUUAUGAGUGUGGACUUCUAUAUUAUAUGAGACGUUUUAUAUAAUUGGAAUGCCACAUUACACAUAAUAAAAAAGGUUAAAAGCUCUUUUUGGUCCUAGUUUUGGUUGGAAAAAUUCGAAAUGGUCCCCAUGUUUUUUUUGUGUUCAAUUUGGUCCUAAAGAACGUAAUUGGAGUUCAAUUUAGUCCUUUUCACUAACUCCGUUUAAAUCGUUAACGGUGAGAUGUCCAAAUGUGCAAUUAGAGAGUGAACUGUCAUUUAUGCUCUCACGUGGACUAGAUCAGUCAUCAUCAUAGGGACCACAUUUGGAAAUAAUUAACAGAAAUGGGGACUAGAUUGAAAAACUUUCAUUCAUUACAAAACAAAGAGCCACAUCACCAUCUUCCUCAACCUUCAGCCCAACCAAAAAUCGAAACCCUACUUUCUUUCUAGCCACUUAACCCUAGUGCCGCCACACCUAAAUCCUCAGGCCGCCACCACAAUUAUAGCCCCAGAGACUCCAAAAACUUUCAUACGAAGUGACCAAAAUCACAUUCACACACCCUUUUUAUCAGACCCCUGUCAACGGUUUCAAUCACAGCAUCAACAACUCUAACUUUAAUAUUGAAGAGAACCAACAAGGAAAAAGAAGAAACUUGACAUUGUUCACGAACUUGGGUUAGUAAAAACUUUAACUUGUUGGGAGAAACAAAGAAGAAUCCAUUUAUUGCAACAAGAAGAAGAAGAUUGGGAAGCAGACAUGGCUCAUUAACCACCAAGAUUGAGAAGAAGAUUGGUUAACCUCCAACGUCACUAUGGCUUUCAUAAAACAAAAUAAAAAUCCUAAUUUGAGAAUUCACCCCCUUUUUACCUCAAUCUCGCAAAUCUGAUUUCGCAAAUUUGAUUUCCCUAAGAUGAUUGCUUCCAAUUGGAAUAGCACGUCAGUGGUGUUCCCUUGCAAAGAUGUUCUUCUCAAUCUCGCAAGUUUCACAAGUUUCCGUCCCAAACCACGAUAAAAAUUUCACAAAUACUUAACUUUAAUUUAUUCUCAAAAUAAUAACCCUAAUCAUAAAUUCUAUUUAAAAAAUCCUAAUUCCAACUGACAAUGUCACAAAGGACUCCAAGUCAGCCAAUAAAUGACACAUCACAAUGCAGUUGCAGAUCUGGAUAGCUCGCCAUUAUCAAUUUAAACGGAGUUACUGAAAAGGACUAAAUUGAACUCCAAUUACGUUCUUUAGGACCAAAUUGAACACACACAAAAAAACAUGAAGACCAUUUCGAAUUUUCUCAACCAAAACUGGAAACAAAAAGAACUUUUAACCUAAUAAAAAAAUAUAAAAUAUUUAAUACAAAUUAAUAUAGUAGAAAUGAAUAGUUGACUAUUUUUUAUGUCAUCUCAAUAUACUUUCUACGAUAUUGAUAUAUAACUUAUGAUAAAUUAUAAGCCAUACACUCAAUAAAACAUCUAGAUAAACCUUAUAAAUUAAAAGUAAUAUUGGUUCAAAAAAAUGUGAUUCAUUAAAUAACUACAUAAUAAAGGAUAAACAUUUAAUACAAAAAAAAAUAUAACUAACAUAAAACUGAUAAACAUUCAUUACUUUCACAUGAUAGUUUUUUUUCUAUUUUUUUAUAUAAACUCUUCAACUAUUUUUUUUUUCUUAAUAGAUUUCUUCUUUAAAUAUAUUUAAAGCGACUCAAUUUUUUUAAAACCUAACAAAUUUGUUAAAAAUUAAAUAUGCUUUAAACUAUUAAAUCUUUUUGUAUUCACUCUCAUUCUUCUCCAAGGUGUUAAAUUUCGCAUCACUUGCCCCUUUUUACACUUAGAAACUCUUACUCUUUCCACAACCACUGCCACCUCCUCUUCUUUUUAUCAUCCCUCACCAACGACUCCAGCGUCUCCAAUGAGAAAAUCGGUCACGUUCUCCUUUCCUCCCCGCCAGACCUCCUCACUCCUCCCACCGGAAAAAGUUUCUCCGCCGCCAAACCUCCUCUCUCCUCCUCCCACCGGAAAAGUGCCACCUCUUCGAAAUCGGCAAAGUCAGCUUCGGCAACGCCAACGACCAAACCGCGUUCAACUUCCUCGCCCCGUCCCUCUUCGCCGCCAACCCCGCCCUCACCAAACUGGGUCGCGACGGCCCAAAGAUAAUGCAGAAAUGGGUUCUCUUCCAACUGGGCCCAGUCCUUCACUGGGGUCUCCCCCAGUUUAGGGAAGAAUUAUUCCUCCCACUGUCCCUAAUUUCAUCAGGGUCUUCCAGGAAAGCGGUUUCCCAUUAUUAGCUCAUAAGGUUUGGCUGGAAACACAUACAGGUGAACUAUGGAAGCAAUUCCUAUCUGUGCUUGAUGAAUACAAAGUGUUGUUAAACUCUAUUCUUCCCCUUAUCUGAAGCAGUCAUAAAAAUGUAAUACAUGAGGUUGAGAAGUGUUGAACAUGUACUUAAGAGUCCAAAAAAGUUCAAGUACAACAAGUUCAAGAAACAGUGUCUAGAGGCCUAAGAGCUUGAGUGUUGACAAAUUACAUCCAAAAUGUAACAGAACACUGAAAAUAUAAAUUACAAACUACCACAUUGCGAUGUAUAUUCAUCCCACGGCAUCAUGCCUGGUUAUUAUUAUCAAAAUCAAUUAAAUGAUCAACCAAACUGCAUCAGUUUAAAAGUUGGAGUUACCAAAAAAUACCUAGUUCCAUGAAAACAAUCAUAUCAUAUUUAAGCACACAGCUAAUUGUGUCUUGAAUCUAUAGGCUUUUGGACAGAUCUAUUAGUAGCAAACUAAAAUAAACCAUCUAGAUAAGUUUUCAUGCUUAAAUUGCACAAUUUACUUCCCACCCAGGCUAUGAUUAAAAGAGAGAAUUCAUCUCCCAGGCCAUGUUCACCAGGCAUUCUGGACCACGGAGGAGGACCAGGAACUGAGUUAGUCAUGGUUAAUGGCUGCACAAAAUGCUUCCUUACAACAGUCAGCUGUAAGUAUAAUAGAUACAAAAGAAAUUGAAUUAAAAUGUUGUCCUAGUUCCUAAUGCAAUUACCAAACAAAAUAAGCAAUGCAAAAACAAGAGGACGAAGUCUACAUCAAUGCAAAUGAUGAAAUCUUGGACACUUAACUUGAACUGCAAGCCUUCAGCAAUGGGACUUUUGAACAAACCAAAGGUGCACAGGAGAGCAAUUGCCACACCUUGCCACCAAGUGAGGAACACAAUUGAUUUAAAUGUCAGAAACUUGGCCAACGGUUUUAUAUGAGCCAGUUCAUCCUUUGUAACAGUAUAAAACUGAACAAGGCAGUACAAAGCCCACGACUGACUAAAAUUCAGAACNACUGCCGUAUAAGGAUACCUACAAAUGUAGCAGAAAGCUCAUGCAGUUAUAUAUAACUUGAAAACCUUAACCUGUCGCUAGAAUUGCAUGAGAAGACAAACUUCAAAUGGAAGAUACCAAAUAUGAAAUUUUAACAACCAAAUCUAGAAAUAAACAUAAUAAAUUCAACACCUAUGCAUGAAAGUAACUGACAGAGCUUCAGUAAUAAUUGCUGGAAGACUUCUUAGAAUCUAGUACAAAACAUAUAGUCAAAAACAAAAUGCUAAAUCCUCUAAAGAUUAGGAUGAAGUAGGAUUACUGAGAUCAUCUUUAAAGAUGAUUUGGCAUUUCUCUAGUUAAUAAUAUUUUAAGACAGAAGUAACAAUUUUGAAUGGCAAGUUACUGACUACAAUUUUAAGCUACCAUUCUCAGGUAUACCAGGUUAUGUUAAAGGACAAAUUCAUACGGCGUAUAUAAAUGGAAACGUAAUCUAAUAAUCUAUAAUCUAUAUCCCAUGAUUGGAUACUUUCUUUCCUUUCCUCCCUCUUUUUCUUGCCUGAUACUUUUGUUUCCCUCCCGUUCAAGAUUUUCAUGUUUAUUUCAAAAAUUCUGUUUCCCUUCUCGGUUAUCUAUUGAUGUGAAAUUGGAGUAGUUUAAUAAAUAGCUCCUUGGAAAUUUGGGUUCUGAAUUGUCAGGCAGAAUAUUCAUUUUAGGUUAUAUUAGCAAAGUAGUUAAGGGCAAAAGUGAUAGAAAAUACAUAUGUACUUGGAACAUCUCCGUUAGGUUCCAAAGUCACCAUUACCUCCCUCAAGAACGCGGAGAAAAGAGACACUUUUUCCGAUGAUAGGCGGAGAAGGAGGUUUGCAGGCGGAGGGAGGGAGAAAACCAUUUACAAGUGUAUUUCAACAUGCAAAAACAUUUUCUGUAAUGUUUCUAAAAUACAUUUUUUUAAUCUUUUAAAAUAUGUAAAAAAUAGUAAAUUCUAAAAGUACAAUAAAAAAACUUAGCAGAAAAACUAUCGUAUUUAAGAGCUCCGUGUUGGAAAAACUAGAUGAAAUAAACAGGUCCCUUGUCGCGGACAAAUGGAACAUAACUCAAAUAUUCUAAUACAAUAUAAAUAAAUGGUGUUACACAUCCUCAUCAGAUCACUCAUAAAAAUUAUCAACAUGUUUUGAGAAUUAUCACAUCCUAUAUUUUACUUUCCUAAUUGAGUGACACCCAACAAAGAAAAACAGUUGGAAUCCUCAAGGUUCCUAUUAAUAAAUUACCAGCAUUGCUUGAAUCUUAUCUUCCUUGCUAAUAGUUUAAUCUUUGCAUUCUAAUAAUUUAAUGCUUUAAGCCUCAACCCCCCACAACACAAUGGUCUGAAACCAUUUCUCCGUUGUAUAGCUGUUUGUUCAUCUCCACACUUGUUUCCAAUAUGUCACCAUUAGACACGGAAGAGAGAUCUGUAACAACAGUCCCAAGAUUGUUCUCCUUGGAAUAUAAUUCUGCUGACUUUCCAUUUUCAAAAACAAAAGAACCCUCCACAGCAUAUGCUUCUUUAUCAGGAUAAUUAAAUGAUAUUCCAUCCUCUAAAUUCUUCAUGACUUCUGAAGUGAAUUUUUCAGAUUUCGUUUCUUGCACGCCUGAUUCACCAUUAACACUUCCUUGUGUUUCUACUUCAUGAUUAAUAUUUGUUCCAAUACCCAAGUUUUCAGUAUGAAUUGGGCCUAACUUAUCUCUAGGAUUUUUCCUCUUAGAAGAUUUCCUUUUAAACCGUGCUUUCUUAGGCUUUGGGGGAUUUGAAUUCUCAUCGGCUAUCGAAACAGAUUCUGCUGCCCUUUUCCUGCAUGGAAGGACUGUCAACUGUGGAUGGCCAACCUGGUUUUGGGAAGCAUGAGAUGCACUUGACUGGAUAGCUAAUAAAGCAGUUCUGGCAGCUUUAAUCUCUGCUUCCUUCUUGGUUUUUGCUGCUCCCCCAAUAUAGAGUAUACCUCCAAUGUCCACCGUACAUGAAAAUACUGAUGCUCGACUAGGUGUUUCAUCCUUUUUGCAUUGAUACAUAGGCAUUGCAUAGUUCAUUUUCUGGGCAUAUUCCUGAAGUAAAUUUUUGCAUAAUCCUGUUUCAUGCUGGAAGUAACACCACUAAUUUGGUCAGAGGCAGCAAAUACAGAAAAACUUGUACAGCUGAAGGAGACCAAAAUGCUGAAACUAAAAGUACUAGAUGUUCAGAGACAAUACAACAAGCACAAAUCUCCAAGAUAAAUUGGGCAACAGAGCUAUAAGCUCUUAAAAGUGUCGGAUCAGAUAACUACUAAUCAUGCAUUUUCCAAGAAUCAAAUAAUGAUUUAGGUGGGAAUAGAACAUUAUAUAAGACUGGUAGAUUUUAAAAGUGUAAAGGAAAGUGUUUUGCAAAAUGGUCGAGGAAAAAGGUUUCAAAUACAUGCAUUAGGCCCAACUGAUUCCCUUGUAAGGCAUAUUGAGGCUUUAAAUUCAAGAAAGUUCAACCUACAUGCAUUAGGCCCAACCAAUUCCCUUGUAAGGCAUAUUGAGGCUUUAGAUUCAAGAGAGUUCAACCUACAUUGGACUUUAGUUACUUCAUUUAGCGAAAAACUACAUAGAAAACGGUAGAAAAAACAUACCUUUACAAACAAAAACAAAAAAAAAAAAAACAACUAAACAACAUUAACUGCGUUAGAAAAUGGGAGAAAAAGCACAUCUUUACAAACAAAAAAACAACUAACCAACAUGGUUUCAUUUCAAGAGUCAAAGAGGGUUUCAGAAACCUAUAUAAUGGUAGAACCAUAUAUUGCAUGUGAAAAUACACAAUUGGGAUCCACAAAAAGUUGAUGAUGGUUAAAAGACUACUUACAACAGGUUGAGUGAUAGAAUGAUUAACAACAUUAGAUUUGGCCAACUCCACCAAAGCAACUUCGGCAGCGGACUGCUCUGCUGCCUUCCGAUUGGAAAAUCCAGGCAAAGAAUCAUACCGAACAUCAUUCACUAUCACUGUUGACCUGAAAGAAGGUUCAUGGGAAGGCCCUUCCUUGAUAGUUUCAUAUACAGGAGUGGGCAGCCCCGCCUUCUGGGCAUACUCUUGCAAUCGGCUUUUAAACACAUAGCAAUUUGAAACGCCUGAAACAAAUAGAAAAACACAGGCAAAUAGUUAACACUUAAUAAUAUCCCAAUCCAUACAAAUGGCGUGACAACUAAGCCAGCUCUGAUCCACCUUUGAUUCUCUUUCGUCUAUCAAGAAACCAACAUCAUAAAAGUUAUACCAAAUUGCACCGAACCCUAUCAAAGUUUACAUUUUUUUAACAAACUAUUGCUUCAAACCUAUGGAAGAAACCUAAUUGAUCAAACACCCUUCUCAAAUUCCCUUGGUCAUAAGACACAUUUCUCUCCAACCCUACAUUUCUUUACAAAAACUCACUCCCUCGUUUAGAGCAACAGAAAGAUUCAUGGAAGCAAAAAAUCAAAUCUUUGUCUCCAAAUAUUCAAUUAAAUUUGAAAAACAAAAUACCUUGAAAAUCGUCGUUAGGGGGCAUAGCCUUCUCUGGUGACGGUUACAGAAGUAUUGAGUGAGUGAUUCUGAGACUCUAAUUGGUUCACUCUAAUAUGAUAUGUUGAAAAAGUGAGGAUGAAUUUUUAAAACUGUGAGAAAAUGAAAGAAGAAAAGAAGUAGUUUGUGUGUGAAGUACAUGUGAGAGGCAAUGCCGGAAUCUGCGCCGCUCUCUUUUUAUUAAGUGGCUAGGACGCGUUUAAUUCGGGUACAUAAUACCCGAUAAAGGCCCAUUCAUCUGGUCCAUUUGAUAUAUAUAUAUAUAUAUAUAUAUAUAUAUAUAUAUAUAUAUAUAUAUAUUCCAAUAAUCAUAUUUUAUUUUAUAAUAUUUUUUUUUAGUUUUCAUUGUGAUUUACAAAGUUCAGUGUCUAAUUUGGUUGAUCGUAACCUCCAAUCAUAAAACCUAAAUUACACUAACUAUGAAAUUUGUCUUUUACAAAUAGUUCACUUUAAAAAGGACAUUUUUGUUGAUUAUAAAUAAGUUGGUUAAAAGUUAAGUCCUUUUAAUGAUAAUAAUGUGAAAAUAUUCUAAAUUUGAUAAUUUCACAUCCCCAUCUUUGGAUAUUUUAAAUUAUUUUAAUGUUUUAUAUAUGUUGUGUAUUCAAGAAAAAACAAAUAUUGCAAUAAAAAAGUCAACCUAAUGUAAGAAAAAAGCUCUCAAUUAUUUUGGAAAGUGUUUGGAUUAAUGGAAGGGAAAUAUUAACUAUGUGGAAUCACAUGUACCUAGCAAUGUGGAGUUUAGAAGGGAAACACUAUGUUGAAUGACAAAGACAUUAGAAUUGAGAUGCUCAACUAUUUGAAAAUGAAAGUGACAAUAAUGUGUUUCUAGUUGACUUGGUGUGAGCCACUUGAACAUUAUACUUAAACUCCUAUUCAAAAAGUUUGUGUCAAAGAUUUAUUAUGAGAUGCAAAUAUUUUGUUAGUGGAUAAUGUAUUAAGUAUUUUUGUUAUAAAUAACAAUUAAAAAAAUUAAUUAUUGUUUUUUAAAUAAAGAGAUGAAGAAUACAUGAAAAAAAUACUUUUAAACCUAAAAACUAUAAAAUAAAAUAAAGUAUCAACUCUUUAAGAUAUAUUUCGUGAAUUUAGAUAAAUAUAUUAAAUUAAAAAAGGCCACUGGGACUUAGAUGUAAUGUGAUUUUGUUUUUGCUCUUUAUUUAUUCUUAUUAUUAUUUCAUUAACAUCUAACUUUUUCAUGUAUAUGUGAAAAAAAUAAUAAUAAAAUUCAUAAAAUAAUAAUAAUGAUGUGAUUGUUUAUAUAUAUAUAUAUAUAUAUAUAUAUUAAAAAUAAUUGUAAUUUUUAACUCAUAAAUUAUGUUAUUUAUAACAUGUUACUUUAAUUGUUGUGAGAAGAAAAACUGACUAUUUUAAUUUAAGAACCACUUUUUUUUAGAAAGCAGUACUUGUUCAUUCAUAGUAAGACAGAAAUAAGAAAUAAAUUUACCAUCUACUGCUAUUUGAUCUCAAGAGAACAAAGACUUGAAAGAUUUUUCAAUGAUGUAAGAUCAAGAUGUAGUAAUUAUGAACACUAUUUAUUAUAGACAUAAUCAUUACUUUUUUAUAUGUUUAUUUCUUUUAUAAUUUGUAUAUGAAUUGAGACAUUCAAAUGUUGUAUUCAGAAGGGGACAACAUUGAGUCUGCUUUGUUUAGGAGUGAAAUAUCUCUGAAGAUAAUAUGUAUAUGUGAUUUAUUUUUUUUAUAUAUAUAAAAAGAAUAGCAGAAAACUUUGAGGAUGACUUCUUAUUUCUUGUUUACUUAAACACACAAUGAAUUAGAUUAUUAGAUUGAUUAAUUGAUUUUUUUUUUCCGUUUCUGUGUAGAAUUUUGCAUAGAUUUCUCACUAAAACAAGCAGAAAAAUACAGUUUAAAAAAAAAUAAUAAUAAAGAAUGAGAGUUUUAGGAAAUUCCCUAUAAAAUUUACAGGAAAAGUAAUUUGUAAGAACUUUCUUCACCUAACUUUACAAAUUAAUUUUGUAAAAGCAACACUUUUCACUUUCUUUCAAACUAAAUUUCAAGAUAAAAUUGUAAUAAUAUCCAGUUUAAAAAUCAAUGUAUCAAUUAAAAAAAGAAAAACAAUAUAUACAUGAAUUUCUUUUUGAAUAUUUGUUAAUUUUCAUACUGAAAACUAAACAUGCUCUAAAUGCUCAAAAAAUACACAUACCACAAGGCUAAAUGAUGUUAACAUGGAAUGUACUAUAUGAAGUAUAUCAAUCGGAAUUGAUUGUCAUUUAUGGACAAUUAAGCAGGUAUUAACAGGUCAUAUUGCCUUACGCUCUGCAAAUAUAUGGUAUUAAUGAUUAAUUAUUGGGUUUGAUUACCUAACAUAUAUCGUGUUAAUGGUUAAUCAAUGUGUUUGGCUGUCACGAGCCCUAUAAAUAUACGAUAGACGUUCAGGUACGAUGAUCUUGAUCUAUCAUAAUAAAAAUAUUGACCUCUCUAUGAAACAUAUCUGACUUGAGCAUCGGAGUGUCUUCUGCAGGUCAACCCCCCAUCGGGAAGGAUUACACGAAGAGUUGGACGACGAGAGCAUAGCCAGAAAGGACCACCGACCCCAGACAAAUGUUACCAAAACAUGGAAUAUAUUUAUUAAAAAACAAUAAGUUAUUGGUUCAUUGGUUAUUAAAAAAUAUAACCAACAUUUUGAAAUAAUGUAAUGAAAUUUAUAAAGGAAUCAGAAAAUAAUUAUAAGAUAUUUGUAAGUUUGGGCUCAAAAUUGCAUAUUGAUUUCCAAAUUUGGGUCAAUUUUUGGGUUGUUUCUUUCUAUAUCGCUCUUUAAAUUUUCAUCCAGCACUUUCAUAAAAUUUAAUAAUUCAAUUUUACCCUUCAUUAAAAUUAUAUUAAAAAACCUUAAAUCUACUCAUUCUCACUUUCAUUCUCUAUGCUAUGCAGAUUGCUCCUUCACCUUCCUUCCUUUUCAAUUUUAGUUAUAUUAGUUACUAGUGUGUGAUUUUUUCUUGGUGAGAAGAGAGCAUUUUGAAUCUUCGGUAUUACUGCAUCCUUUGACUGAUUGAGGGGUGAUUUUUGAAGUUUGUUUUAUCUUAUGUGGGAUGGGAAGUUGGUGGUUCUUCUGGCUGUGAUUGUGGAAAAUAAUUGGAAUAUAUUUUUUCAAUUGUAUUUGGAUUGUUCAUUUUGAAAUUCAAAAAAUAUAUGUUUAGAUUUGUAAAGGUAAGGAUUGUGAAAUUUAGAGAAAGUGAAAGACAUGUGUAUGCAGUUGAGUGGAUCAGUUUUGAUGGUGGUAUAUAAGUGAACUUUUCAAAAUUUUGUGUCAUUCUCUGCAUGUAUUUAUCCUUUCCAAAUUUCUGAGUUAUCUUUUCUCCUCCUUCUCUCUACAAAUUCUCUUUAGAAUUUCUUCAUCUCAUUUUCUCUAUCCCAUAGUCAGAUAGUGUUUAAGCCAUUAGAGUGUCAAGAGCUUCUUUAUUCAACAAUCAAAAGCAAGUUUUGAGUUGGUGAGUUCUUUCUUUUCUUAAAAAUUCUGUUUACUGUUACAUGCAAGCCAAGUUUCAGGUUGUAUGUGUUCAUCAGUUUUCUCUCCUUAAUUCUAACUUCAAUUCUGGUCCUACAUUUGGUAUUUUCUCACCAUACGAUGAUCCAUAUAGGUGUUCUUAGAGUUCUUUCGGUGAAAUCAUCAAGUUGAGAAUUUUGGGGUUAAGUUGUCCAGAUUUUCUAAAGUAAGGGAAGCUGGUUAAUUUAAUUAUAAUUCUUUUGUGUAUAAAAUCCAUGUUUGGAUGUUUGCAUGUUUGGAUGAUUGUAUGUUUGGAUUGGUUGCAUGUUGGAUGGUUGAUGGAUACUGGAAAUAAGAACUUGUGAAUGAAUUAAAGUAUUUUUCAUAAGUGGUCUUUGUGUUGGUUUUGAUAAGUUGGAUAAAUUAAAUUGGUCAGGGAACGGAGUAUGAUACAAGUAUGGGAAAUUAGAAGUUGGUAAGAAUGUUGUGAAUUGGUAAAAAUGGGGGUUGAUCAUAAUUCUGCAGAAUUAUGCAGACCGCUAAAAGUCAUUCAUUGACCGUGCGGUCUCUUUUGUGUGCUCGGUCUUGGACUAGUGUUUGGUCUUGCACCAGUAUUUGGGUUGUUGUAAUGUUCAGUCUCUUAGUAUUGAUAGGUUUUAUGAAUAGUAUUUAUGCUAGGGUUAGCGCUCGGUCUUAUACUAGUAUUUAUGUUAGUGUCAUCAGCGCUCGGUCCUAUACUUUUAUGCUAGUGUUAGCACUCGGCCUUAUACUAGUAUUUAUGCCAGUGUUAGCGCUCAAUCUCAUACUAGCAUUUAUGCUAGUAUUAGCGCUCGGUCUUGUAUUAGCAUUAAGUCUAGAAUUAACGCUCGGUCUUGUACUAGCAUUAAGUUUAGUAUUAGCACUCGGUCUUGUACUAGCAUUUGGUUUAGUACUAGCGCUCGGUCUUGUACGGGUACACAAUUUUGUCAUGGUGUUCGGUUUUAUUCUAAGUAGUGAGUUUACUUUCGGUCUCUAACGUUCACAGAGUGUUCGGUCUUGUUUGUAGGUGGUCGUUGAUUCAUGUUUAGUAUGUUUUUAUCUUUAUUCUAGAAUGUUAUUUCAAUUAAGUAUUUCCAUUAAUUUGAUGAAUUACGGAUGCAUGAUUAUGAAUGGUGUUAAAGUGAAAUUAUGGUUGAUAGACGUAUUUCCAUUAUCCUCAAGGAGAGGAUAUAUGGUGGUGUUUGUUGAUUGAGUUUUAUAUAUAAAUGGUCGGACUUUUGUUGGGAUUUAUCCUGACAUUUUAAUGAUUAUUCAUGCUCAAGUAGAGAGUGAUAAGUCAUGUGAUGAGAAUAGUAGGAGGUAUGAGUCCGAAGUGCCUGCAUGGCAAAAGGGUGUUUGUAGGACUAACCUGGUGUGAUGGCUGAUGGGGUUUCCAGUUACUUUUCAUCACAUCAGUGCACAAAUCCUUAUAACUCGACAUUUAUACAAUUCAGAUGGUCAGAGUCAAGUGUUCGGUCAUUGCAUGUUCGUGUGGUGUUGAUAAUGCUUUUGUACUUGUUUUAUUGGUAUGAUUAAUUAAAUUAGAUUAACUGACCCUUCUUUUCUAUUUUUAUGUCUUUCGUUCGAUAUUCUUUAUUUUGCAAUGAUUUACCUUGUGGGUGUGAGCAGAAGGAGAGGAGUAUUCUUUGGAGUAGGCCUUGGAUAAGUCAAAGGACCCUGUCCUUUAGCUCAGGACCAUUGGGUCAUAAAGCUGUUUAUAGUCUUAUGUAAAACAUUCGGAAAACAUUCGGUCAAGACUCUAUCUUUGUAAGUAACAGUUCCGUUAUGUACAUAGUUUUGUAAUAAUUUAGUAAUUUUGUAAAGUUUUAAAUUUUAUGGUUAUUUUGUAAUAAUUGUAAAGUUAACAUUAUUUCCAGUAACUGUUUUAUUAUAUUAUUAAAUGAUCACUCCUGUAUGUAGUUUUAUACUAUAUUUUUGGGAUGUUAAAGUAAAUAUAUUCUGAAAUUUGAAUAUAUUUUUUAAUACAUUUUGGAAUAUAUAUAUAUAUAUAUAUAUAUAUAUAUAUAUAUAUAUAUUAAAAUAUAUUUCAAAAUAUGAAAAUAUUUUUUAAAAAUAAUCUGAUGUGUUUUCAUUAAAAAUUGUAUUGUAGAUUGUGUAAUUCAAAAGAUAUUUUUAAAAGAUUCAUUAUAAAUUAGAGAAUCUAGUUGUAUGUUUUCAAUAUAUUUAAAAUGAAAAAAUAAAUUGGAAAAUACGGGUUUCAAUAUAUGUGAAGGAUUAUAAAGGAAGAAUGAAGAUCUGAAGAUGCAGAAUAAAGAAAAAAAAAUAUACAAUAAUAACUUUUACCUUUUUAUUAUAACUGUAAUAAAGAAUAAUUUAUAGUUUAUUGAAUUGAUGCAGGAAAAAGUUAAAUAAAAGAAGAGUCAAACUUUUGUUUAUAAUUCCAACAUAUAAGGUUUCUCAUUGUUCAAUGAUAUUGGAAAUUAUGAUACAUAAGUUGUCUUACCUAGAUAUGUACUCUUCUCACAAAAAGUUGGAAAUCCAAAUUUAUCAUUACGAAACGCAUUAAUUACAAAGAAGAUAGGUAUCUUUCAAUUUACCAUACAUUAUGGCUAGAGAUAUAGAGAUGACAAUUGAUCGGGUGACAUUAUUUAGUCGUAACUUGAUUCGUUUGAUUAAAUUUUAUUUAUUAUUCGAUUUGCUAUUUGUCGGAUAUUCAUUUAAAAAAUAUUUAUAUAUAUUUUAAAAUUUGCAAGUAUUUUUCAAUACAAUAUGUCAAUUGACAAAAUUAAGUAAUUUAAUAUCAAUACAAAAUCUAGUGUAUGGGGUCGGUAUGUCAAUUGACAAAAUUAAGUAAUUUAAUAUCAAUACAAAAUGUAGUGUAAGGGGUUGGUUAGACGACCGAAGAGAUGAUGGCGCAGAGGAGCAUUUAUUAGUUCCAUGGAAAAGUAAUGGAAGAUACGACAGUUUGCGGUAAUUAAUGGUCAGUUAGGAACGCGAGGUUUAUAAAUAAGAAACCAUUGGUCAGGGAACUUUUUUCUGAUAAUCAUAUUCACUCAAUUUCCUGGAGACCUAUCUAACUUGAGCGUCCUAGUGUUUUCUUUGCAGGACGCCUUCGUUCGGUAUUCGAGAAAACACAAUGAACGAGCAAGUUGGUCGAUCGGGAGAAAGAGUGGGACUAAGGCAUCUCGGUUUUGGAUCCUAUAUACUGAAACACAAAAUAACAUGUGGAUAUAACUUAAUAAGGUAAAGAAACAAGAUAAACAUUUAACAUAAAAAUCAAACAAUUAAAAAAUAUAAUUUUGACUAUUCAAUAGAAAAAAAUAAUAAACAAAAUAUUAUGACCUUCAAACUUAAUUAAUCCUAUUAUUUAAUAUAAAUAAUUUUUUUUUCAAAUGCUUGAAAAUAGUUAUUACCUUUGAUUAGGACCAUGUUAAAAAAUUCUUUCAAAAUCCGCUGUAAAUAAGAUAAUAACAAACAUGUAUUAGUAUAAUCUUUUAACACUAUGAAUAACCAAUUCCGAAAGCAAGAUUUAGUAUGUAAUUUAAUAAUUUGCAGGAUAAUGUGAGUGUUCUGUAUUACGAAAUUCAGAAGAAGAAAAUCAUCCUUAAUAUAUUAAAUUCUAAAGGUCGUAAUGAAAUUGGAGGUAGAAGUUUGUGAAAAUAUUAAAAAAAUAUGUAUUAUUAUCAUUGUAGUUUUGGAUUACGUUUCGUAAUUCGUAAUGGAAAAAAUCACUUUUAAUAAUUUUUUUUUUUAUAAUUUUUUGACAGUUCGUGAUUAGUUUGUUUUAAAUAUUUUUUUUUAAAUAAAUUUAAACAAACUAAUAAAAUAGUGACAUAUUUUUUUUGUCAAAAAAUUGUUAAAAAUAGUUGUUAAAAUAUCAUUGUCCAUUCGUAAUAGGUAAACUAAUUUUUUUUAAUUUUAUCUUAAGUUUAAUAAAAGAGUUAUGGAUCACCAAUCAAAAAGGCACGAAAAUUUAUCUCAUUAAAAGUUAAACUUUUUUUUCACAUAGUUAUAAUAAAUGUAUUGUAUUGGAGUAAGUUGUCCAAAUAAUUCUACACAUUUCCACAUGUGAAUAUUUUCUUAUGCUUUCUUUACUUGAAAGAAAUGAUACGUGGAACAGUAGUUAGAAAAGUAAGUUGUCCAAAUAAUUCUACACAUUUCCAAAGAAAUUUUAUAUUACAAAAUAAAAAUAUUAAUUUAUUGAUGUUAGAAAAGUAUUGAAUGAAAAAUUGGAUAUUCAUAUAUAUCAUCAUCCUUAUUUUUAAACUAUACGAAAAAACAGAAAAUGUUGUUGUACAGGUUGUGAUUCAGAGAUGUUGAAGAAUACGAAGAAACGUAUGGGACCGUAAAGUAGACAGUGCAACUAGUCACAAAAUUUUAAAAGUCAACACGAUCAAAGUACUAUUUUGUUAUAUAUAUGUAUAUGAGUAUUUAUAAUUUAAGAAAAAUUUACAAUUUUCACCAUAUCAUAUCUUCACAUGAGAAAAAUAACGAGUUUAUACAUUCACCAACAAAAAAAUUGAAGUUCAUUUUCUCCUCCCACCGUCAUUGCUAUUGAGAGGAAAUUUUUGUUUUAUAGUCACAAAAAAUAGGUUAAACAGAUAUUUUUAGCAUUGGGCUAUUUCUUUGACUACUUUUUUUUUAUUUAUUUUAAGUUAAUCCUAAUUUCAUUUAAAACGGGGCAAUAUGAUUAUGUUUUUGUUUAAUUUAUGCCAAUAUAAUUUAUGUUUUUGUUUUUCUUCUUUAUGUGGUUUAUUUAUGAAAGAAAUAUGAUUUUUUAGUCAUAUAUAUUCUUUUGUUCAUAACCACGUUUUUAGUAUGUAGAUAUUGUCCACUCUGCGUUGAUGUAUAUUCAUUGUCACCACUUUUUUAGUCCACAUAUUCUUGAUUUUGUAUUUCCAAUUCACAUUAUCUUCACUCUAUUAGAUAUUACUCUUCAACCUAACCUAACUAUUAGUUCCAUGUCAUGAAUAAGAGUUUAAUAUAAUGAAAAAAAUUCUUUUAACAAUUAUUUUUUUUGACAACUUUUCAACAAGGCAUACAUGAUAGUUUAUGAUUGGUCUGUUUCAAAAAAACUUUUAAAUGUAAAUUCAAACAAUACCAAUAAAGUAAUGACAUGUGUCCUGUUGUUAAAAAAAUGUUAGAAAAAGUUAUUAAAAUAUGAGGAUCCUAAUAUUAAAUACUACAUUAACUCAUUUUAAAUAAGGGUGUUCCUCCACCUCCCUAAGUGCUCCUUUACCUCCCCACUAUUUUCAUUUAUUUCAAAAAUAUUUUACACAUUCCCACUAUUUUCUCUUAUUGCAAUAAUACCCUACAGCUCUCCACUAUUCUUAACAAUCAUUCUCUUUCUUCUCUGCAUUAAUAUAGCAUUUACAUUUGAACUUUUGAUAUAUUCCCUUAAAUAAAUUUGAUUCAAUCUUAUUUUUGUUAUUCAAUAUAUUUUUUUUCUUCAAAUUACUUAAUAAAUGGUAAAAUUUUGUUCUAAAUUUCUAGAAAAAUGUUUAUAUAUGUGUGUGUUUUUUUUACAUUUAAUAUCUAUAAUUUUUAACAUUAUAUAUGUUUUAACUACAUGCUCGACUUAAAUAACUUGAAUAAAGUAUUUAAUUUAUUAGAUAAAUAAUAUAAAAAUAUUAUUAAAUACUUAAAAUAUAAAAGAAAAGUUAUUUGUUAAAGAUUUGAAAUUUAUUUAGUUUUUUUGUCAUUAUAAAGUUAGUAUAUAAUAAUAAUAUAUUAUUAUUUACUAUUAAUAUAAAAUGGAAGUGGUAGAACCACUAAUAUUAAAGUUUUCUCUGAAAUUUAUAUUUUGUAAUAUUUCACAAAUUCAAAUUUGAACCAUGUGAAUACUCCAUUAAUGUACAGAGAGAAAGAUUUUGAAGAUAGUGAGAAGGUAUAGGGUAUUUUUGGAAUAAAAGAAAAUAGUGGAGAGAUAUAAAAUAUUUUUGGAAUAAAUGAAAACAGUGGGGGUGUAGGAGUACUUGGGGGUGAUCACCUCCCCAAGUGGGUCCUGUACCUCCCCAUUAUUUUAAUUUAUUUCAAAAAUAUUUUACACCUCUCAACUAUUUUCUUUUAUUUCAAAAAUACCCUACACCUCCCCACUAUUCUUAAUCAUCUUUCUCUCUACAUUAAUGGAACAUUUACAUGGCUCAAAUUUCAACUUGUGAUAUAUUUUUUUAAAUAAGUUUGAUUCAAUCUUAUUUUCGUUGUUGAAUAUAUUUUUUUCUUUUCAAAUUACUUAAUAAAUGGUAAAAUUUUGUUCUAAAUUUCUAGAAAAAUGUUUAUAUAUAUGUGUGUGUAUUUUUUUACAUAUAAUAUCUAUNAUUUUUAACAUUAUAUUAUGUUUUAACUCACCGACAUGUUUGACUCAAAUAACUUGAAUAAAAUAUUUAAUUUAUUAGAUANAUAAUAUAAAAAUAUUAUUAAAUACUUAAAAUAUAAAAAGAAUUAUUUGUUAAAGAUUUAGAAUUUAUUUAGUUCUUUUGUCAUUAUAAAGUUAGUAUAUAAUAAUAAUAAUAUACCAUUAUUUAUUAUUAAUAUUAUUAUGUUUAUUAUUUUGUAUUUGCAUAUAACUUUUAAUUUUAUAAAAUGGAAAUGGUAGAAGUAUUAAUAUUGAAGUUUUCUCUAAAUUUUAUAUUUUGUAGUAUAUCACAAAUUCAAAUCUCAAUCAUGUCAAUGCUCCAUUAAUGUAGAGAGAGGAAGGAAAAGAUGGUUGAGGAUAGUGGAGAGGUGUAGGGUACUUUUGGAACAAAAGAAAAUAGUGAAGAUGUGUAAAAUAUUUUUAAAAUAAAUUAAAAUAGUGAGGAGGUGCAGGACCCACUUGAGGAGUUGGAGGGAGCAACACCUUAAAUAAAAUCAAAUAUCUAGUGUUGCUAAAAUAGGUCACCCGGUCCGGCUCACCACGGGUUGAUCAUUUAGUAAAUCAACUUAACUCGGCUCAUUAAAAUUCAAAUCCGGCCCGAACCGCCACGGGUUGGUAGGUAAACGUGUUGACUCAACGACUCACUUAAUUAUAAUUUUUUUAAAAUAAAAAAUAUUACAAAGUUUUCAUAAUUCAAAUCUAAAUAAAUUUUAUUUGAUGAACCAAAUUGACCUGCGGAUUAUGAUCUAUUUUGAAAGCUUUGCAAAUCUCUCAUCUUCUAAAAGUAUAAUACUCUAUUAAAAAAAUAUAAAUAUUAAAAUAAAAAAUCUAGGAAUUAUAUCUUUUAAAACUUGAUACUCUAUUUGCAUUAAAAAUCCAACUACAAAAGACCUAGGAAACACGCUUUUCUUUCUUGUUUUAGUUUCAUCCUUUCCUUUCCAGAUAUUCACAAACAUAUUUAGUUUUUGACGUAAUUAGUCUUUUUUUUUUCUUUUAAUUGAGAAAAUAAAUCCCUAAUUCAACGUUUAAAAAAUAAUGUCAAACCCUAGAUUUUAAAUCACAAACACGUAAUCAUACAAUUUAAAGAACUCGUUUUACCUACUCAAAUUUAACAUUUAGUUUUUAUUUAUUUAUUUAUUUCGAAGGAUUAAACAAGUUUUCUAAAAGUUGAAUGAUUUGUUUCCUAUUUAAGGUGCGUGUAUUUUUUCAAUCAGUCAUUAAAUAUUUAAAUCAAUUAAAAAUUCCUGAAAAUCAUUACUUUCAUAUUUUACAAUGUUUUAAAUAGAUUUUAUACAUUAUCAUUAAAAUACAUUUAAUCCUUUUAUAUAUAGACUAAAUUAUAUGUAAUGUAACGUGAAAUCUAUCUAAAAAUUGAAUGUAAGACAAGAAAACUUCUUCCAUUCACUUUAUUUUAAAUUAUUUGAAUUUUAUGGCUAAAUUAACCAUUUUACUUUCUUUUUUUAAUUCUAAAAGCUCAAAACUAAAAUUAUGCCAAAUUUUAAAAACUAAAAUACUUUUAUGACGCUAUUUAUUAUGUAAUUUAUUUUUAUGCAUGAAAUUUCAUAUAUGUUAAACAUAUUACAACCACUCACUCACUCACAAAUCUCAACGUACAAUCAACAAAAACUUCAUUACAUUGCGUAUGAACUCUUCUCUUACAAGUAUUUCUUUUUUCCGUCCCUCUCCUACCAAUAUAUCAUUUCUAAGAUAAAUUUUCAUCAUCUUUCACUUUAAUUUUUUUAUUCAUUAAAUAUAUAUUAUGUGUAUAUAAAAUUACGUACGACUUUCAAAAAUUUAUUAUCAAUUAUUAAACUACAUAAUUAUCAUCUUUAAAUAUUUACAAAUAUUUAUGGACUAAAUUAUAUCAUUUUAAAGAUUUUAUAUAUAUAUAUAUAAUUUGAUCGUAAUUUGAUCAAUAUUAACUUUAAACUCAUUCAAACGUUUACAAAUUUGAUAUAUUAUCAUAAAUUAAUUAUAUUUAAUACACAUUUAUUGUUAAUAACGUGAAAUCCUUCCAAUAUCUUCUAUAGGUGUUAAUAAUAAGCAUGAAAUAGAAGAAAAUCUUAGAUCUGAGCUUAAAGUUGGAAAAAUGAAAUAAGGAAUAAAAGUUAUCUUCAAUCCCACUAAUAAAAACAAAUACUGAUCCAGUAUUAAGUAUUUCAUGAUUUUAAUUUGCAUAUUAAAUGGGAUAAAAUUCAUGUAAGUUUAUUAGCGUUAGUUCUAAUAGAUUUUAUUGCUAACGUGGGAAAAAUAUUUAAAAGUGUGAGACAUGUUAAAAUUAAUAAUUUUAAAUAAAAUUAGAUCAAAGUAUUAACAAAAUAAGCCUAAUCUGUAUAUUUUAUUACUUUAAUAAAUUUUAAAAUUAUUUUUUCAAAGUAAGUAAAACAAAUGUUUAGUUAAUAAUUAUGAUUUUAGUUAUACGGUAAAUCGGGUUAAAUUUAGUAUGUCGAUCCCCUAAUCCUCUACUAAUUUAGUGGAGGGAUACGUAAUUACAGACACUGCUUUAAAGAAAGUUGAGUAUAAACAUUAUUUACUUUAUAUACAAAUUUAUGCUUUUAAUUUUCUUAAGAAUGAAAACGGAGUUAAUUCAUUUAAAAGAAAAUUUAAUUUAAACGAGAAAUGCUACAACUUCUGAAACUCCUAAUCUUUAUGCUAAAAUUUUUUAUAUAUACUAAAAUAAUAAGAACUAUUCUUAUUAGUGUCGAUUCUUGUUGAUUUUAAAUGUGUUUUGUUGGAAAGUGAUAUUAUAUUAUUAUUUAGGGUAAUGAUACUUUGAUAUUUAGAAUGUGACAAAUUUUUGACACAAUUAUGUGUUAUAUUCUAGAUGGUCCACGUGUUUUAAAAAAUAAAAUGACAAAAUGACGUGGAUUCAUUUUAAAGAAAAACAUUUCCUUCAGAAUGAACUUCGUUAUAAAUGUGUUCUUAAAUGAUAAUUAAUAAAUUUUUUAAUAAAAUUGAUUAAAAAUAAGCCGUGGAGUUCAAGUGACAGAUUUAAACAUAUUCUCCUUGUGUUAAAAAAGUUAGCCUAAACUUAAAUGAUAAUUAAUGAAUUUCUUUCAAUAAAAUUGGUUAAAAAUAAGCUGUGGAGUUCAAGUGACAGAUUUAAACAUGUUCUCCUUGUGUUAAAAAUUAGCCUAAACUAUCCACUUAUUUGUACAUUGAUACCAGGUCUGUUACUACACAUUGAAUCACGUCAUUCUGUCAUUUUAUUUUUUUUAAAUACGUGGACCACCCAGAAUGUGACACGUGUUGGUGUCAAAAAUUUGUCACAAUGUCAAGGUAUCAUUACCCUAUUAUUUAAUAUUUUUUUCCAUUUAUCAAUUUUUUCCUUGAUCAUUAGGAGGUGGAGAAAAUGUUUGGAGACAUGUAAAAUAAUAAAGUUUGAUUGUUUUUAUAUUUUUAAAGAGGAAAAUAGUUGUACAAAUAAGUUGAUUUCUUCGUGAUUAGAAAAUAAACUUGUAAUCUAAAAAAUGACUAAAUUGUUAACUACAUUUGUAUUCUAGUUACUUGAUGAAAAACAUUGCGGUGAUAAUUACAAGUAAUGAAUUUGUUUUAAGUUAAUAUUUUCAAGUUUGUUUUUCGUAAAAAAAAAAUAAAAGAAGAAAGAUGAUGACAAAUAUAACGUAAAAUAAUAUUAAAUAAAAAUAACAUAUAAAUAUCCUUUUCAAUUUAAUCAAUAUAUUACGUUUUGUUUUAUAUUAAAAAUAUUUGAAUUAGUUUCCUAGUAGCUAGUUGAUACAAAAUAACUUUUCCAUGGGCAACAAAACAACUCAAGAUUUUUUCAUCUUAAGAAAUCCAUAUCCGUGUAAAUUCUCAAGGCCAUGUUCCCAACUAUAAUGUAAUCAAAAUUUUAUUUAUUAUAACUGUUAUUAUCUUUGUGACAAAUUUAUAUUAUUUUAAUUAAUCUUUAUUUGCCUGGGAUAAAAUAAAAUAGUAAAAUAUUUAAAUUAAGAAAUAUAGGGUAUACUGGUUAAAUAAUAUAAAAUGAUUUAAUAAAAUACUUUUGCAACAUUUAGUUAAGAAAUUAAAAUUAUGUUAAAGUAAAUACAAUCCGAAGAAUUUGAAAUAAAUUAAAUAUAGAUUACUAUAGAUAAUCAAUGAGUAACGAAAUAUAAAUUAAAUAAUAUAACUCUAAAUAACUAAAAACAAUAAUAAAUGACUGAAGACAAAUAUGAACAAUAGGAAAAUAGAUAAUAUGUAACCGGACAUAAAUUAAAAUACAUAAACAAAUAAAAUAAAGGAGGUUAAAAAUAUUUAUUAAACAAUUAUCUAUACUUAUAUAUAAAAUGACAUGUUUAUUUUUUAAAUUUAUUCUUUAAAUAAAAGUUUUUUAAAAUUAAAAUAAUUUCUUUUAUUAAUUUUAAAUUUGAACAUUUUUUAAUUACAAAAAUAGAAUAUAUAAAAUCCCACGAUAUGGUAUUUUAAUAUUAAAUGGUUUUAUUAUAAAUGGUUUUGUUAUAAAAGAGUUACAUUAUUUCAACACAUAUAUCUUUCUAGAAAUCAUUUUUUUUAUAGAGUUCUUUACUUUCUCUUUCUAAGAAUUAUAAUUCUCGAGUCAUCUGUUUGACAAUCAGGAGGUGUCUAGACGAUCAUGACGUAAAGGCCUACAAAUCCAACCGAUCAAUUUUCGUUUUAGAGCAAGUAAGUUUCUACUCAUUUUUUUACCUCUUUGCUUUGGUCAAUAAUCAUGCAUAGAAAUUGUUAUCCAUGUAUCAUUUAGCUCUUUUUUCUUGUUCUUGGUGGAUUUAGAGCUCUAAGAACUUUAUCCGUUUCCAAUUACGUAACUUGUAGGUUCGUUUAGAAAUUUUUUGCAUUUCAAGCGAUCGACAGGACGUUUAUGUGGGUUAAGUUGUUAUUUUGAGGUAAAGGAAGCUAGACAUUGUCUUAAUUAUAUUUGUAGUGUAAAUUUAGUAAUUUUAUAAAUUUUAGAUGUUUUAGUAAAAAUUGGUGUGUUUUGGUAAAUUUGACGUAUGUUAAAUUGGUGUUUUGAUGAUAUGGUGUUAUUGUAAUUGGUAUGAUGAUGUGUUUGUUGUUGUAUAUCGUUUUAAUUGGGUGUGAUGAGGAUAUUUUAUGGUUCGAAACAAAAUUCAAGUGGUUGUGAGAGUAUUAAUCAAGUUACUUAAAUUUUAAGCUUAAAAGGAGAGAUUUAGGGUAGUGAAAUUUAGAAAUAGGUAUGGGAAUGUUAUGGCAUUUGUUUUGGUACUGUGAUAAGGUAAUUUAGAACUUGUUAUGAGGGUUAGAUGGUUGAGAAAACUGUGUGUAGUGAAAAAGAUAAUAUAUAAGGGUGGUUUUCAAGUGUUUUUGGUGUAAAAAGAGAGUGUUGAAUAGGGAAAUGUUGAGGUGAGUGGUCUGCAUUGUUUUGGACAGUUAAAGGUAUGUUAUCAUACCUAUUAUGACUUGUAUAGGUGCUAAAACAAGUAAAAUUUGUUAUGGAAGUGUAAAUGGCUUCGUUGGUUGAGUUUUUAGUCAAAUUUUGAGGUUUGAUAGAUGAAAUUUUGAAUAAGGGACUGGUUGGUUAAAAUAGAUGUUUGGAAAUUGUUUUGAUGUUAUUUUGGACUUGUGGGAAUUGUCAAAUCAGUAAAAAUCUGGAGUAUUAUGCAGGAGAGGGUUGUGAGGGUGGAUUUGCAUUGUUUUGGGUCUGAAUAAGGGGUAUUGAGUAGUAAAAUUCCAAGAGAGUGGGUCUAGUGUAAAAUGGUCAGUUUAGGGUCUGUUAUUGAGUCAUUUAAGACUUGUUCAUACCUUUAGUUUGUAGAGUUUUGGGUUAGAAAGUGUAGAUUUGGGUUUGGAUACUUUUGAAGUUGUCACAUGGGUUUAAUGCACCAAGUUUGGAUCUAAUGAUAAAAGUGGUACCUUUUUGUAGUUAUAAACAUGUUUUCAUAUCAAUUCUAAUGUGUAAGAAACCCUUUCGAUCAUUAGAACAAGUCUUAAGUGCAUCAAAGUCCAUGAAAAUAGUGUGUUGUCAACUGAUAUGGCAGGAAAAGGCAGUUUCUAGCGUUGAGUGCCACCAUUCCAGGGGUGCCAACAUUGAGUGGCAGUUUUCUAGCGCUGAGCGCCACCAUUCCAGUGGCUCUGGCGCUAAGCGCUACCGUAUCAGUUUUGAUUUCUUUUUCAGGUUUUGGAAAUACCAAAUUCGGUGCUUCGGGUAUUAGUUUUGGACGUUCUUUAGGUCAUUUUGGAGCUGUUGGUGAGGGGUUCAAAGUUGUUUUCCUUGCCUAAGUGAGAGUAUCAUGUUGCUAUGAAGUAAAUGGUUAUUUUGUGAUUUUUGAUGACUAAUAUGAGUGUUUCUAUUUUUUUAAUGUAUGAUCAGUGAUGUUAUAUGUUGGUAUUCAAUGUGAAAAUGUACAAACAUAUGUAUGAUUACAAAUGGUUUUCAAGGCUGGAAAAAAGAAUUCCAAGGAGGAAUAUCUUAAUUGGGGAUUCAUGUGUAUAGAUAGUAUAAUUUGCAAGAAGUCGAUAUGGGGUUAUUCUAACACUCUAAUGGUCAUCUAUGCUCAAUUAGAGAGUGAUGAGUCAUGUCGUGAGAGGAGCAGGAGGUCCUAGCCUAGGGGCCUUUUUUCAUGGUGGCAAAGGGCAUUUUAAGGACUAACCUUGUGUGACAAUUUUGAGUGAGUCAGUUGUUCCAUCACACAAGUGCAAAAGGGUUUGGCCAAGUCCGAGUUAGUGAUGUGAAUGGGAAAGAUGUUUUGGAUAUGUGUGAAUGGUGGGAGAUGUUCUACUAAUUGUGUGAUUGAAAUUGUAUGUUGAAUUUUUUUUUCAUGUUAAGCUAUUUUAUCACUAACUUACCCUUGCUUCUUUUGUUUUAUCUGUGUAUUGUUUUCUUUUUUACAAUGAUCACCUUAAUCAGUAUGAGUUUAUGAAGGAGACAUUUUUCAGUUGCUUCAGCAGUUGGUUGAGAGAGAAACAACAUGCUCUUUUGAUCUCAAAUUCCUUAUAAGUUAUUAUAUACGUUUUAUUUUAGUAGUUUUACAUCAUUAAAAUGAGAUGUUACAUAAUAAAUAAAAACCAUUUACAAUAAAAUUAUAAAAUUUAUUUAAUUUUAUAAUAAUAAUAAUAAUAAUAAUAAUAAUAAUUUACUCACAUGUAUUCACUGUGAUUUAUAAAAACAAAUAAAUAAAAUAAUAAAUGUCCAAUUCCUCCGUACCUAAUAUAACUUGAGACAUAAAAUAGAACUGAAUCAUGAAUUGAUGUAUUAUUUUCUUUCUCUCUCCCUUUUUUGUUUCUUUUCUUCUCACGCUACCCCCUUUCCUAUGUCUCUUAUGUUUACAGUCAUAAUUAGUUUAUUUUAUUUUUAUUUAGGUUUAAUUGCUUCUUUUGUUCCCAGCUUGAUUGAAGUGUGUCAAAUUCGUCUCUCUUUCGGAAAAAUGUCAAUUUCGUUUUCAUAUAGAAAAAAAUUGUAUCAAUCAAGUCAUUUCCGUUAAAUACAAAUUAAUGGUGUUAAAAACUUAAAGUGAGUUUUGAAUAAUAACCACUUCAUGGGUCCGAUUCCUGAUUUUGCAGUGGAUAAAGAGAGUUUUGAAAGCAAUGAUUUUUAACGGAGAUAACUUGAUUGACACAAUUUUUUUCUAUAUGGAGACGAGAUUAACAUUUUUUUUAAAAUGGGGACGAAUUUGACACACUCCAACCAAACUGGGGACAAAAGAAGUCAUUAAACUUUUAUUUACUUACUUACAAUUUUUCAUUCUCAUAUUUAUCUCUUCAUAUAUAUCAAUAAAUAAACUUUUUUUUUUAAAUUCUUUUUAUUAUUUCAAAAAGGUAACAGAUACGUACAUAAUUCAUAAAUAACAUAAUUUGAAUAUAUGUAUAUCUACAAAAUAAUAUAUUAUAAAAUUUUGAAGAUGUUACAUUUUAAAAUUUUAACUUUUUAUUUAACCUAAUAUCAUUGUGGCGGUAAUUGUAUAUGUAUGAAAUGUUAAUGAAUAAUAGCUAGGUGUUCAUUUGAACGUAUUGUUAGGUGAAAAUAAUAUAAUUUUGCACGAGUAUGGCGGAAUUAUGAAAUAUGUUUACAAAAUAGUAUUUAAAUUUUAUUGAUAGUAUAAAUAACGCAGAUGAAUUUAUUAAUAAGUUUAAUGUUUCAAUAAGUUUUUAUUUUUCCUUCAGAAUCUUAAAUAAAUCUUUUUCUUUUUCAGCAUCUUAAUUGAAUUUUUAUUUUUGUAAAAUUGAAUAAGUCUUCUUGUCAAAUUGAAAUGACCGUUAAGAAGGGUACGUUGAUCGUAUAGUUUUUUAUUACGUGAUGUUGAAAAUAUGACUGAAUUGUAUUUUUUCAAAAAUUCAAAAAUUAAAAAAAUACAAUUCAGUCACAUUUUCAAUACCACGUAAUAAAAACUACACGGUCAACUUAUCCUUCUUAACGGUGUCAUCUUAAUUUGACGAAAAGGUCCUAUAUGAUUUAAUUUAAAAAAAAAAUUCAAUUGAGACGCGAAAAAAAAAAGGAACUUAUUUGAAAUUUUGGACGAAAACAGGAAUAUAUUGAGACAUUAAAUCUUAUUAAUAUAAAAAAGUGACGAAGAUUUAUUUUAUCCGAUUGGAUGAAGAAAAUAUCGAGAAGCUGAUUUAUGUAUUUUUGUCACAUAAGUUGAAUGGUAAACAAUGUAACGACCUGAUAUAUUGUGGAAUGUGAGUUUUUGAAAUUUAGUCACAGUGAUGUGGAUUUUAGACAGAUACAAAUAUAUAUGAAAUAAUUUACUAAAUCAUUUUGAAAGUUCGUUUUCGUAUUUACUAUUAAAAUUAACUUAUUCGAUUUUCUUACUGUAUUACUUUACUAUUUUAUGAUUGUUACCUAAUUGUAAUGAUCUUAUCUCAGCAUACAUGAAACUGCAUUACUUUAUCUAACUUAUCUAAAUGUAUCAAGUAUGAAUAUGAAUUAUGCAAUCCUUACACAUCUCCAAGCACCAUUAUCUUAAGAUGUUAUUUUCUUUUUACCUGUGUAAGAUAAUUUGUUUUUAAAUUAUUAAAAAAAGUUAUAUAUAUUUUUAUUUUUUAAAAUAAAAUUAAAAUUUCAUAUAUUUCAAAAUUUGAUAUAUUUUAAUACUAAAAUUUAAAAAAUAAAUUAAUGUUGUCAUUUUAACUUAAUAACAUAAUUUUUGUGCGUAUUAAAUGAUAUUUUAAAUUGACAUUGCACUAAAAUGUGUUAAAUGUUAAAUGUCUUAAAAUAGAAUUUAUGUGAAAAAACUCUAAUGUAGUUUAGUUAAAUAUAUUUAUUCGUUUUUAAGUUUGAAAAUCAAAUUGUAUAUAAGUUUCUAACAUGGACUAAAAAUAUACUAAACCCUUAUAAAAAUGGUACAACUUUUUAAAAAAAUUUGAAAUUGAGUAAAUCAUGUCACGUUGAAACAAUUUCAAAUAAAAUAUAACAAAAUAGUUUGAAACUCAUACAACUAUUUUCCUUUUGGAAUCAUGUCAACAUGAUAAUAUCUUAUCCAACUUUAUUAUUAUUAUUUUAAAUUACACAAUUUUAAUAGUUUUAAAAGUAAAUCAUUUCAUAUUAGAAAAUAUUAGGAAAAAUGUGUGGGAGUUACUCCCUGCACCUCCACACACUACUUUUCUCACCCUUCCAUUCUUUUUUACCCUUUUAGUAAUAUUUAAAAACGGAUGUUAAUAUUUGUUAACGAGAUCCGUCGGAUGUGGAUAUCCGUUUACGCAUGUUCAUAUUUGUUUAAGAAAAUCCUUAUUCGAAAGAAAUUGAUGCUUCCUAUCAACUCCUUGCUUUUUUCCCCUAAUCCUGAGAAACAUUACACACCAAAUUUAUAAAGAACUCACGAGUGUCAAGAGAACUUCUUGAAAAAGGUUAAAAAAAUUUCUUUGAAAACAAAAGUUGUUGGUUAAAAAAAUUGGUGUCAAACAAUUGUUGUCUGCAAGCUUCAAUGGCUGCAAACAUAAUAAAAACAACAAAACCCAGAAACCAAAAAACUUUUAGUAAACAAACCCAUAAAAUAAAGGAGGAAAAUUUAUAAUCUUCUAGAAAACAACGAAAGGAUAUGAUUGGUUUGUUUGUUGGGUCACCUUGAGUAACUAGCUCGAAGGAAAGAGGAAGCUCUUUGCAGAACAGCUGAAUCUUACGACGUUUUUCUUCCAAUGCCUGAGAAGAAACGAAUUUAGAAAUGAGAGUGGAACAAAUGAAUCUGUGGGAGGGUUGCGGAGGUUUAUAAAAUAUGGUUAAAGUAAAAAAAAGGACAUUUUUGUAAUUAAAAAUUUUUGGAGAAAUUUGGGGAGGUGGAGGGAGCGUUUGUGGGGGUGGAGAGAGCAACGUCCAAAAUGUGUUAGGCUCGACGGGCCAACCCAUCAACCCAUUUAAAAAAGUUGGAUUGGAUUAAAGUUGGUGUUGUAAACCCGAUUUAAUCUGGUCCACCUAUUUUGUUAACUUGUCGGACCACUAGUCAAACUAGAAUCAUCCACGAUUUGUUUUGUUAAAAAAAAUUUAGAACAUCAUGUGCUUACUGGCUACAUAGACCGCAAAGGCUCUCUCACCUUUCUCAUUUUAUUUUCAUUUCUUAUACUUGGAUACUUAAUUCACUUAUUUCGUAUCCUCUCUCAAUUCAAUUUUUGUUUUUGUGAGAGGUGAAGUUUAAGUCUAACUCAACCUCAUAAAACUAGCUCCAGUUUGUAAGGUGAGGUUUGCAUCCAUUUAUAUACACUUAAUUGGUCUUAUCUCUAGUCGAUGUGAAACUUCAAACAAUUUCUUUUCAUACUGUCAUCAUUUUUCAUCUCGCAUUCAUUGACUAACACUCACUUUCACUACAUCAUAAAUGAACAACUCUAUAAUGCGAGCCACCACUAUUAGUUAGACGUCAAACACAAUAAGAAGGAGAACUAAAGUCAUUCAGAGUUAGAUGCGAGCCACAGUCACAAACAAGUUGAUUUAUUUAACCCUCUAUUUCAUAAAUUUUUUUCAUAAUUUCAAAUAUUUUUUCCUUUGUGAUUUUGCCUUGAUUUCAAGCAUUUUGUUUGUGUCAUGAAAAUUUAAUAUUGUGUUGAGACAUUUUUAAUUUGUUGCUUUUGACAUGUUUUUUUUUAAUGUUUUUAUGAAUUGUAAUUUUGUAAUAGGAAUUUUUAUUAUUGUAUACGAGUGAAUUGUAACGUGAACUUUGAAUUGGAUUUGUAUUCAUCUUGUGAUAAUGUUAUUGUGUUACCAAAUAGGAUUUGAAUUCAUUUUAAUUUGGCUAAGAUUUAGUAAAUUAUUGUUCUGAAUUUGGCUAAGAUUUUUUUAAUGCAUUAGAUGAUGGUUGACAAGUCAAUUUUUGAAUGUUUAAUUUCAAUUAAUUUAAACACUAGAUCGUGAAGGAAUUUGAGUCUUCACAUACAACAAAGAAAAACUUAAAUUGGACUUCAGCUAUCAAAUCAUUAAAAAAAUAUAUAUAUAUCAAACCAACCUGCCAAUCCGGUCCUCCAUUAUGCGGACCGGAUUCUAAGUUUUAACCCAUUAUUAAGACAAACCUAACCUCAAAGAGAUUAAAAAAAAACCGAUCUUAUGAACUAUAAUCGCGACCCAUAAAAAGGAAGGGUUCAUAUGACACGAUCCCAAGGUUAUGGUUCCGGAGAGUCCAUGUCUCUCUGUAUAGACCGACAUUUAUUUAUUGGGAAUGCACAUGAAUUUGAAUAAAAUGUUGUGGGUCCGACCGAGUUUGGUAUAUAAACCGUGUUUAAAGGCGCUACUCAAUCCCUG
RNAcentral lists this long non-coding RNA (52780 nucleotides) under Vigna radiata. Its description in RNAcentral is "long non-coding RNA (VRAD_LNC003771)". Lineage: Eukaryota; Viridiplantae; Streptophyta; Magnoliopsida; Fabales; Fabaceae. The record is from RNAcentral.